RNAcentral lists this long non-coding RNA (82078 nucleotides) under Ananas comosus (pineapple). RNAcentral's name for it is "long non-coding RNA (ACOM_LNC030254)". The record is from RNAcentral. Lineage: Eukaryota; Viridiplantae; Streptophyta; Magnoliopsida; Poales; Bromeliaceae.
UAUUGGAUUUUGAAUUAGCUUAUUUGAGAUAAGUUGAGUUGGGACUUGGGAGGUUAGAAGUGAUGUGAUGUAUUAGGUCAAAAAAUAAGUUGUGUAAUUAUAUUACUCAGAACUGUUGCCUGGUCUGAAGAGCUUGACUUAUAUAUGGAGUCAAUUGUUUCUCUUCUUUUUAAAAGCUCUCUAAUGUUUGCUUGACAAUGUAAACAUUUACUUUUUUGCCUUAGAUGAAAUUUAGCGUUUUUAGCGUUUGUUCAAUGUUAUGUAGUAAAACUUUUCUUCUUAAUGAACUCCGACUCUCUGGUACUUUAAAGUACUAAUCUCUUAAUUGCAUAAAAGUAACAUUACUUAUGUGCUCACCUUUCCAGGAGACUGCGCGUCAGUGUUGAGCAUGAUAUGGGCGGAAGUGAAGCUGCACCAAAAACUGUGAGAUUGUUUGUCCCCUAUUGGAUCCAAAAUGAUACCUCAGUGCCACUUUCCUAUCGAGUUGUAGAGCUGGAACCUUCAGAGAAUUCAGAUACCGACAAUCUCUUACUUACAAGAGCAAUAAAAUCCACAAAGCUCACCUUGAGGAAUUCCUCAAAAUCAUUGGACCGAUUAAAAACCAGCUCUCAGAGGAACAUUCAAGUAUUGGAGGUUAUUGAGGACUUCAAUCCAAAAUGUGUCAUGUUGUCUCCGCAAGACUACAUGAAUCGUUCUGGGGUUUUGCCCUUCCAAUCUAAGGGAGAGACAUUCACCUCCACACGUGUUGGCAUCUCUGUUGCAGCUCAUGAUUCUACGUAUUACAGUCCUGGAGUUUCUCUUCUCGAGCUUGAAAGCAAGGUAUGGAGGCACCUUCAAGCAUCUCUUUAAUGGUUUCUUUUUGUUUCUUGGGUCCAGAUUUCUCGUUAUAGGAAAUUGUCGAUAGUGUGAAGCUUAGCUAAGUUUUUGUGCAGGAACGUGUUGAUGUCAAAGCAUAUGCUUCUGAUGGGUCAUAUUACAGGCUCUCAGCCCAACUCAAGAUGGCUUCUGAUAGAACUAAGGUUGCAAUCUCCAUCAAUGUUGUUGGACCUCAAAAAAUUUUCAAUUCCACAAAAAGUGAAAAUUUUUUUGUUCUUAAUUCAUGAAUAAGGUUGUUUCGAGGUGAAUCUUAUAAAAUCCCAUUCUUUUUGCAGGUUGUUCAUUUCCUACCCCGAACGCUGUUUAUCAACAGGAUUGGGCGCAGUAUGUCUUUAUCUCAGUUUAAGACUGAUACUGAGGUGUUUCUACACCCAACUGAUCCUCCAAAAUUAUUUAAAUGGCAAUCCAACAUGGCAAAUGAGCUUCUGAAGGUUAGAAUUGACCAUUCCUAUUUCUAUUCACUUUGUUUAUACGUAUUCAUCUGAACUUACAUGAUAGGUGUCAUUUGUAAUCAGUUGCGCUUGGAUGGGUACAAAUGGAGUUCUCCUUUUAGCAUUGAAAGUGAUGGUAUCAUGUGUAUCUGCCUGAACAGUGAUACAGGAAAUGACCAAAUGUUUAUCAGAGUUGAAGUAAGAAAUGGAACCAAAAGCUCACGCUAUGAAGUUGUGUUUCGCCUUGCUUCUUCUUCGAGCCCUUACAGGUAUAUUAAAGGAAAGAAGAAAAGAAAUCAUUUUGCUUUCUAUUUUCCUUAUUUGUGUCUGGAUGAUGAUUCUAACUUCUCAUGGGCAGAAUUGAAAAUCGUUCCAUGUUCUUGCCUGUACGAUUUCGCCAAGUGGACGGUCGUGAUGACUCCUGGCGCAGUCUGCCCCCUAAUUCUGCCUCUUCAUUUUUCUGGGAGGAUCUUGGUAGACAACGGUUACUAGAGAUCAUGGUUGACGGAACAGAUUCCUUAAGUUCUAAUAAGUACAACAUCGAUGAGGUCAAGGAUCAUCAGCCCAUUCCAACAUCAACUGGGCCCAUUAAGGCGUUGCGUCUUACUGUUCUGAAAGAAGGUAAGACGCACAUUGGUCGAAUUAGUGACUGGAUGCCACGAAAUGAAACUCAACAACAGAUAAAAGAAAGAAUUUCAUCGCCAAUUUUCCUACCGUCAGAGGUUGACUAUACAGAGUCUUCUGUGACCUCGGAUAGUGAAUUUCAUGUUACUUUUGAUCUAGCAGAUUUGGGCUUAUCUGUUAUUGAUCAUAUGCCCGAGGAAAUUCUAUAUCUAUCCAUACAGAAUCUCUCACUUACUUAUUCAUCUGGGUUGGGCUCUGAGAUUAGUAGGUAAGAACAAUUGAUUGUUGAUAAUUUCUGCAGCUAUUUUUGUGAAGCGAUACUAUCUUAUACUAUUUUUUUCUUAACGGCAGAUUUAAGUUGCGGAUGAGUUGGAUCCAAAUAGAUAACCAAUUACCUUUUACCCCAUUGCCAGUUCUUUUUAGUCCACAGAGUCUGGGGAAUCAACUGGACUACAUUCUGAAGUUCUCAAUGACCAUGCAAACUAAUAAUUCUCUAGAUUUUUGUGUGUAUCCAUAUGUUGGUUUGCAGGUAAGAUUUGUUCCAUCUUGUUCAUGAAUAAAUUUGUUUUUUCUAAGUUUCUAUAAAUAAAAUAGGUUAAUGUAUCUUUUGAUAAUCUAUUUAAUUGUUGUCUACUGCUACGAUGACACAUAAUUCCUCCGUCCAUUACAUGAAUGUUGAUUUUCUCUUUUAUGUCCCUCAAAAACUUAUUUGCAUAUGUUUUAGUGUUUUAAGGAGCAAAUGUUCAAGUCGUAGACAUUUAAUUCAUGUGUAAGCCUUUUUCUUUUGAGGAAUAGACAAGUAAUUACGCGUACGCGCGUGCACGCACAUAAAGCUAUGCUAGAAUACUUCUAGAAGUAAACAGAGGUGUAUACUUCUUUGCCGUUCUGACAAUGGAGCAUCCAAAUCAACAGUAGACACUGUUAAACUUGAUCUAGACUAUUUGUACUUUGUAGAUUCUGAAUUUCACAAUUUUCUGACAUCAUUUGCCUAGUAUUUGAAUGGUCUUAAAAUUGACUUAUUUUAAUGUCUAAUAUAAGAUGAAGUUGAAACAACUUGAUCACUACACAAAUGAUCAUGGAAAAUUACGAAAUUUGAUUCUUAUGAAGCCCAAAUAGCCUAAAUCAUGUUUAACGGUAUCGAUCAUCAAUUCGGACGCCUCAUCGUAGAAACGACAUGGAAGUGAACUCCUCUGUUUACUUCUAGAAGCAAUCAUGUUUAACGGUAUGGAUCAUCGAUUACGAAGCUCUAUCAUCGAAAAUGACUUCUGAGUACGAAGACAAUCGUACUUAUAAGAGUAUGGUAGCCGGACUCUAUAUAUAUAUAUAUAUAUAUAUAUAUAGAGAGAGAGAGAGAGAGAGAGAGAGAGAGAGAGAGAGAGAGAGAUAUAUNGCUAUUAAGAGUACAGCAGCCCGUAUGCUUUUAAGUUCCUAACUAGUAUAGUUAGAAUGAGAGUAAUAAACAUUUUGGGCCAGUGAAUUGGACCCAAUUCAAAACAUACAGAUGAGUGUCCACGGAUCUCGAUUGUGAUCUGGCCCAACCAACCUCAUAUCACGAGUGUAGAUAUAUAUAUAUAUAUAGAGAGAGAGAGAGAGAGAGAGAGAGAGAGAGAGAGUUGAGCUAGAAUACUAUCAGUAGCAAACAGACUCCGUUGCCACCCAUUUGUUUUCGAUGAUGGAGCCUCCAAAUCGAUGAUUGACACCGUUGAAUAUGAUCUAUACCACUUGAAGUAUCUAGAAAUCAAAUUUCAUACUUUUCCGAUAUUGUUCUCUUAUCCAUCAAGUGGGCGUAAAAAUGAACAGCUGAAAAUGAAUAUCAUCUAAAAAGUGAUGAUAGGAAUUUUGUAAUCAAAAUCGAGAGUAUAGAUCUUAUUCUAAAUAGUUUAAAAAAUUUUCUAACCAAAAUUCAAUUGAUUUGGAUAGCUUUACACCGUUAAACGAGAAAACGCCUUAUAUCUACUAUUAAAAUUACAAAUUUUGAAACCCUUUGAUCAUUAGGUCAAUGAUGUCGAAAUGAUUUGAAAUUUGGUUUCUAGAUACUUCAAGUGGUAUAGAUAAUGUUCAACGAUGCCGAUUGUCAAUUUAAAGGCUCCAUCAUCGAAAACAAAUAGGUGGCAACGGAACCAUUGCUACCGAUAGCAUUCCAGCUCAACUCUCUCUCUCUCUCUAUAUAUAUAGAGUUAACGGGCUAGAUUACUAUUUGUAGUAAAUGGGCUCUGUUGCUAUCUAUUUGUUUUUUUAUCACUAGUAUAAUAUUUAUUUUGCUGUAGAUAGUAUAAAAAGAAAUUUAUCAAAAUUUUAUCUGAUUUGGAUACUUUUAACUAUUAAACUUGCAAACGGCACACAUCAACUAUUAAAAAUUAUUGAUUUUUAACCCUUUCAAUCACUAGGUAAAUGAUAUUGAAAAACCGCAAAAUUUAUUUUCUAAAUAUUUCAAAUACGCUAGAUCAAAUCUAACAGAGCUGAUCGUCUAUUUGAAAGUUCCAUCAUCAAAAACGGCUUAGAAGCACGGAGGCUUCUGUGCUCUUAAGAGCAUGACAGGCUUCUGUGCUCUUAAGAGCACGACAGCCCUACUCAAUCCCCUAAGAUAGGAUACUAAUGAUAGUAGAGGAAUAGUGUUUGCUUAUGUAAAUAGUGUUUGCUGCCAACUUUUUUAAACCUUGGAUGCUUAGGGUUUACUAUUUAGUGGUGGUACUAUUAUGAAUCCAAGGAUAUGCACUAUUCAUGUGUUAUUGAGAGUAUUGUACGUUGAACCUCUCUCUCUCUCUCUCUCUCUCUCUCUCUCUAUAUAUAUAUAGAGAGAGAGAGAGAGUUCACCUAGAAUACUAUCUAUAGCAAAUGCAUAGCGUUUACUAUCAACUUUCUAGCCGUUGGAUCAAUACUAUUCCACCUACCACCACUAGAUCCUAGGCGUCCAAGGGCUAAAAUGUAGAUAGUAAAGAAGAUUCAUUUACUAUAAAACGUAUUCUAGCUUUAUAUAUUAUUGUGUAUAAUUGUUCAGAGAACUGAAUGUUUUUCACUCCUUCAUAGGCUCCUGAUAAUUCUUCAUUUUUGGUGAACAUUCACGAACCAAUUAUUUGGCGUCUUCAUGAAAUGCUGCAACAAGUGAAACUUGGCAGGGUAUUUGGCUCUCAAUCUGCUGCUGUUUCAGUAGAUCCUACUAUUAAAAUUGGGUAUGCAAAAAUGUUAUGAACUUUUUUCCGAAGUUUUUGGUUUGUUUGUAUUCAGAACAUACUUAUAAUAAAUGACUCUUAUUUGUUAGGCUUCUUAACAUCUCGGAGAUCCGAUUCAGAGUAUCCAUGGCUAUGUCACCUGCUCAGCGGCCCAGAGGUGUUCUUGGAUUCUGGUCCUCUUUGAUGACUGCAUUGGGAAACAUGGAGCAUAUGCCGGUAAGACUGCUAUUUACAAUGAUUCUACUAAUUAGUCCACAAACUUAUGCAACUGCUGUUGAUUGCAAUCUUGCAUUCAUGGAUAUGCUUGAGCAUGCAUUCUUUGUCUGCUUGACCUUGCUUCUAGAGCAGCUUUUCUGCUAUAGAAAGUUGAAUCUUACGAAAAUCAAGCAUUUGGGCAACAAAAAAAUUUGGAAAUUUUUCUGUGGUGGGAAGUUAAAAUGAUUUUUUCAGCCUUAAAAGUGAAAGCUUUAAUUUGAAGCUUCUUAAACAGCAUUUGAGCCGAAGAUCUAGCCAUGCCAAACGAGCCCCUUAUCACUUUUAUUGCUUGAAUAACUUGUAUGCAACAAUUCUACAUUGCUGUAAUUUUUGUAAGCAUGUUUGCAUAUUUCAGGUACGUAUUGCUCAAAGAUUCCGUGAGGAUGUAUGCAUGCGUCAAAGUGCUCUUAUCAGCAAUGCAGUAUCUAAUAUCCAGAAGGAUCUUCUUAGCCAGCCCCUUCAACUACUCUCUGGUGUUGACAUUCUUGGGAAUGCUAGUAGUGCACUUAGCAACAUGAGUAAAGGUGUCGCAGCUUUAUCUAUGGAUAAGAAAUUCAUCCAGAGUCGACAAAAACAGGUUAACUCGAGAUUCCCAUUUCUCUGAACCAUCAUUCAAAGUACCUUAUUCGUGACAUCUUGUUCCUUUAUAAUGCUUCUUCCAGGACAGCAAAGGUGUAGAAGACAUUGGCGAUGUCAUAAGAGAGGGAGGUGGAGCUCUGGCUAAGGGACUAUUUAGAGGAGUGACUGGCAUAUUAACAAAGCCGAUUGAAGGUGCGAAAUCUUCUGGUGUCGAAGGCUUUGUUCAAGGUGUUGGGAAAGGCAUAAUUGGUGCUGCUGCUCAGCCUGUGAGUGGGGUCCUCGAUCUUCUAUCAAAAACUACUGAAGGAGCUAAUGCUGUGAGGAUGAAGAUAUCAUCUGCUAUAAUGGCGGAAGAGCAGUUGAUCCGUAAGCGGCUCCCUCGAGUAAUUGGGGGUGAUAACUUGCUGCGCCCUUAUGAUGAAGAAAAAGCAGCAGGGCAGGUGAUAAAACAUUUUCUUUUUUGCAUGUUAGGAACUUUAACUUACAAUCAAGGAUUUAAGUGCCCAUCGGCACGGAUCAUAUCUACCGUGCCAUAUCGUGCCAACAAGAUAUCGGCACGACACAGACCCCGUGUCGAUGGCACAGCUCGAAACCCUCUAUUCUUUAAAUUAGUAAGUAAUUUUCUCAAUAAAGUUCAAAAGAUUUAAUAAAAAUACAUAAUAAACAAUUAGAAUAAUUUUGUUGCUAAAGAAAAUAAAUAAAUUCAUGCUAUUAUGUGUCGGCACACAUGAAUUUUUUGUGAUCGGCACGCAUCUGCACGGCCCAGCACACACCGUGCCAUACCACAGCACUUAAAAUCCUUGCUUACAAUGUGAGUUUGAUCUAUAGGGCUCCCCUAGUUUACCAAUUUGUGUUCCUUUUAUUUUGUUGAUUGUGUAUAUCCUUUCCAAAUGAAGACACUAGUUCUACCAUUUUGGCUCGUCCUUUCAGUGCUUAAGCAUGAACCUGAGACAUACACUGUACCUAUAUUAUGGGCUUUUUUUGCAUCUAGCCCCCUAGAAAAAAAUUAUUUUAAAAAUAGCCCCAGCAAAUUUAUAUUUGCACUUUUGGCCCUCACCCUGCCACGCAAACGCCACGUCAGCACCACGCAAGCGAGGCUGGGUAAGGGUGUUAAGUUGAACACGGGGAACCAUUCACCGUGUCCAAACAUGGUAAAUGGUUUACCGUGUCUAGAGAAAAUACAAAUAUAUGUAUUUUUUGCAAUAUAAAUAUUGAAAAGAGGAAUAGGGAGUAGGAAUUCCAAUGGGUAUGGAUACCCGAAAUAUUAUCCCAACCCAAACCCGAAUAAAUUAUUUAUAUACAUAAUUUAUUUUUAUUUAUUUAUACAAUAUAUAAAAUAUUUAAUAAUUUUUAUCCCUUAGAUCUUCAUCCAACAGUAUGGAUUUUUAAAACCAGCCGGGUUCGGGUCCGGGUUCAGGUUUCAGGUUUUUGGUCGGGUAUGGAUAUGGGUAUGGAUUUUUAAAACCCACAGGGUUCGGAUCCGGGUUCGGGUUUUAAUUUAAUUUUCGGGUUCGGAUUUUUGAAAAGGAAAAGAAGAGGAAUAUAAAUAUGAAACACGGUGAACCAUUCACUGUAUUUAAACACGGUAAAUAAUUCACCGUGUUCAACUUGCCAAGCAGGCUCCCAGCCUGCCCACAUGGCCCCUGCGUGGCAGGGAUAGGAUACUGUAGAUUACUGUAGUCACAAACUUCUUGGCAAUUUUAAGGGUAAAAUUGUCAUUGAUGUUAUUUACGCCAUCUAGUUUAACCUUCCUAGUUUUCAUGAGCAUAUCUUUUUUAAGUCAUCAGCAAUGAUUAAGGUACCCACCGGCACGGGCCGUAUCCACUGUCAUACCUCGCCAGCAAAAUAUCGGCAUGAUACAGCCCCCGUGCCGAUAGCACAACUCAAAACCAUCUAUUCUUGAAAGUAGUAAGUAAUUUUCUCAAUAAAGUUCAAAAGAUUUGAUAAAAAUACAUAAUAAAUAAUUGGUGUAUUUUGUUGCUAAAGAAAAUAAAUAUUUCAUGUCAUUCCGUGUUGGCACACAUAUAUUUUUUGUAACCGACACGCAUCAGCACGGUCCGACACGCACCAUGCCGUACCAUGCAGACAGGUUUCCGACACGACCCCGUACCACGGUACUUAAAUCCUUGGUCAUCAGAGACAUUACAAAUACUUCUCUACUCUUGGGUUGUUGGUUUGAUAUGGUUCUCUGGCUUUAAUAUAUUAUUUUCUUGUGCAUAUUAAAUUCCUUCAUUGAAACUGGCAAUUUUUUCAUAUUUGGCACAGCAUUCUAGUGUGUUUUUGCUUUGCCAAGAUCAAGCACUAUCUUGAGAGAUUACUGUAGGUUGAUAACUGUUUGUUAAAGAUCGGUUAGUUCUUUCAAGAAGCCUUCAAAAUAAUAAUGUGCUAAUUUUUUACCUUCUGUUUCAUGAAAAUCAGAGCGACCACACUUGUUUGUUUAGUCUUUAACAGCAUAUUGUUUUAGAACUCUUGCAAUAUAUUAAAUAUCCAUUCUCUCAUGUUUUUAUGUUAGUAUUGCAUGCUAAUGUAAAACAAUUUUUUCUGUCUCAAUCAGGCUAUCUUGCAGCUUGCUGAAUCUGGCUCUUUCCUUGGUCAAGUCGACCUCUUUAAAGUCCGCGGGAAAUUUGCAUUUUCAGAUGCUUACGAAGAUCAUUUCUUACUCCCUAAAGGAAGGAUCGUUCUAGUUACCCAUCGAAGAGUUUUGUUACUGCAGCAACCUGCUAAUAUUCUAGCCCAACGGAAGUUUAAUCCCGCUAGGGAUCCAUGUUCUGUGAUCUGGGACGUUCUAUGGGAUGAUUUAGUGACGAUGGAGUUGACACACGGAAAGAAGGAUCAUCCAGGAUCGUUACCUUCCAGACUUAUCCUGUAUCUGCAAAUGAAGCCCUCCGAUUCCAAGGAAGCUGUUCGUGUAAUCAAAUGUAGUCGUGGAUCCGAUGAAGCCGCCAGGAUUUAUGCAUCCAUUCAAGAAGCAAUGAGAAUUUACGGUCCAUAUGCUUUGAAGGUAACUAAUUCAUCGAUGCUCAAUAAUCCAGCAGCAGAUAUUCAUAGGACAAAUGUAUUUUAUAUCCUGAAAUAGGACUAUGAAUAAUGUAUUUUAUAUCUUGAAAUAGGAGUGUGGUUUGCUUACUUUUUUUCCUUUCACAGAAUGCACACAAGCGGAGGGUACCAAGACCAUAUACCCCACGUAGUACCAUUGGCCGAUCUGAAGUAUUUCCAAAGGAAGUUUUUGGUAGUGGGGGUGUUCAAGAUGAACACAAGUCUGUUCCUCUGGAUUCAUCCUUUGGAACAGUUAAUGCUCAAUCGCCAAAUCGAUAGCCCCUUCGGCGUACCUAUUUUCUGAUUAUUGUCAAUUAACAGAAGAGUUCACAUUGCUGCUCAUUCCUGGUAAACUAUUCAGGGCAAGAGCAACAUGCGAAUGUAUAUCUGAGUGUUACAAAGCUGAGAGCUUCAGAUAUGAUGCAUGCUAACUACAGAUCCUAUACGCCAUAAAGGUAUGACGAACAACAAAAUGAUGCUCCUUACAAUUGCAUGACACGUCAAUGCCUUGCGGUUAUAGUUCAUCGAACUACUUUGAAAUUUUAGGCUUGUAUCGAAGACGACAUAAUCUCGCUCGCAGCUGUUGGGGAAAUUGCCUUACAACUUCUCUUCCAACUACCCAGCAUUGGAAUCAGGCACACUAAUUGUGUAUACAGUGAUUUUCAAGGGUUAUAUAGCUAUGGAGCCGCAUGAAGUUUUUUCUAUUGUUCCAUUGUUGGGACCUGCAUCUUUUCUGUCCAAAGGGAAUUCAACUAAACAUUGUAAAUUUGGUGUAUAUGCUGUUGUAUAUAAUGAUUAUUUUUGGAGAUUUUAACCCACUAGCCCUCUCCAAAAAAUUUUAUUCUAAAUAAAGAUCAAACUUUUAAUUGUAAAUCUAGGCUUUUAUUGAGUCCGGAAAGAAUAAGAAGAGCAGUGAACUAUUCACCACUUUCAUUAAAGCAGUAAGAAAUUUGUAAUCUCAUAAAAGCGGUGAAUAGUUCAUCGUUUUUAAAACUAGGGUACUAGUUCAUCGCUUUUAAAACUAGGGUAUCAUUCACCGCUUUCAGAAGAACAUAGAACACACUCUUUAAUUUUUAUUAGUAGUGAAUGGCUCACUGCUUUAAGUAUUUUUUACUUUCAGCCCCAAUUUUUUUUUUUCAAGUACCCUGUAAUUAUACAGUAGUAUUUCUAUCGGGCAUUUUAAUCACAAUAACAAUUAUUUAGAUUUGAGUUAAAUUAGCUUCCACUAGUCAUAUUGAAUGUACAAUAUCAUAAAAAAAAUCAAAUAUAUAUAGAAAUACAAACGAAAUGCAAACAUAAAUCAACUCCUUUCCACGCCAUUACCACGCUCUCGUCCUCUACAAUGUCUGCGUUUGUGCCGUCAACCGUGUCCUUGAGCUCCAUUAGCUCCAUUGCGCUCUCGACAAUCAGCUUCGUGUCUUGCAUCCCAACUACUGAAGGCAGCAUGUACUCCUGCAUCUCCACUAUUGGUUCAGUAAUAAGUAUAAUCCUGCUGUUGUCACUUACAAUCGAUAUAUAUUAUCAAUCUGAGAUAGAGUGGAUGGAACGUUAGACGGAGGAUUCAGCGUUGAGAAAUAUGAAAGUCUGAAGUGGCCAGGCUGCCAGGUGAAGGGAUCAACGUAGACAAAAUAUCAACUUGACGAAACAUCCGAUGGGAUGGAAUGAAGGGAUCAGUGCGAAUGAAAUAUCAAGCUGAUGUACCUUUGACAUAGAUGGAACGUAAAAUGAUGGAUUGAUGUGGAUAGAGAAGGGGCCGAUGCUGACUGAAUAUCAAAAUGAAGAACCUCCUCGCCUGAUCUACCCUAAAAUGUCAUACAUUGUACAGGUUCCAUAGGCUCCGGUGCAUGCUGUAAUAAUCCAAAUUGGCGUAAUACCCUGUCGGGUGGAUGUAACUCUACUAUAUGAUAGCAUAUCAAACAUGUCGAUCAAAAACAUCGAUUCAAAAGAUAGGAAGACCAACUAAUAACUUUGGCUAAAUUGGCAAAAAGCAAAUUAAGUCAUGCUAGACAUGAUUAAAGUGGAUUUAGAGAAGUAUAGGCCGGGUUUGGAUCAAAUUGCCAUCAAAAAGGAGUUCAUAAAAAAGGAAAAAGUGAAUUCCAGACUAUUUGAACACUCGGAACAGGAAUUUGGGCGUUCGAAAUGGAUUCUUCUGAAGCGCUUGAAUGAGCGGACGCUUUUCCAAAGAGCAAGAUUAGCGAGAGGCCAAUGUUCGGGCGUCCGGAUUUGCCCCUUGGGCACCUGGAUCUUUUCGAAUCCCACUUGAGGGCGUCUGGAACCCUUCGAAACUCCCAACCCAAGAGCUAGAUCACAAUGGACAAAGCAUUCGGGCGACCGAAUGGCUCUAUGGCACUCGAAACAUCUUUCGGGCUGCCAACUCAACCUAAGAGUGUAGUAGCGCUAUGAAUUAAGGAAUCAAAUGCCCGGUUUCCCCGCGGGCACUCAAAAGGCUAUUCGAGUGAAUUAGUUGAGCAUCCGGAUUAGCGACUGGGCAUAGCUACGUGCGUUUCGAGCGCUUGAAAGUUCAGGUGGGUGCCUAAAACGUAGCUUAACUCACUUGGCCCCAAAAGUGAACCUUUUCGUGCUGACAUUGGAUGAGAAGUGUAACACCCCCGUCCCACAUUAGAUAGAAAAAUAAUUUUGAUUAAAAUAUAUGAGGCCUACGCGCUAGUAAUAAUAACUGGGCUUAAUCAUUUUGGCCGGUGAUUUGGAUCCAAUGAGUUCUUAUUGCUAUCGAAUCCGGUUGUUACAAUUGGUAUCAGAGUCAAAUACCAUGCGGAAGUAUGAGAGCUAAGUGUUAUAUGGGACAAAGUGCUAUACCAACGGAUUUGAUGGGAGCCACCUUUUGAACCCGUAACAGCCACCUCUAGAAUCUCACAUUAUCUGGUAAUUCUGGUCUGUCUGCAUCUGUAAUAUGGUUUGGAUCCGAUGAGGACGUCAUGUCUAAACAUGGGGAGUUUGUAACGCCUUAAUAGUCCCACAUCGGAAGAAAAGACGAUUCUGAUUAAAAUAUAUGAGGUCUGCAUGCUAGUAAUAAUAACUGGGCUUAAGCAUUUUCGGCCGGUGAUUUGGGCCCAACGAAUUAUUGUUGCUAGCGGAUCGAGUCAUUACAAGGAGUAAAUGCACCUAGGUUAGUAUUACAAAAUAGCUUUUGUAUAAUUAUUUAAUAUAACAAAUAUUUAGGUUGCCUUCUCCCAUCAAUUGUAGGAAGUACGAAGUUCCGAAUGUAGUUGUUGGUGGUCCUCCUCCCCUCCCCACGUACCAUUCACCCUACCAUGGCAUCUAGUUCUCAUGCCCGGGUGGAGAGCAAGGCGUCUUAUGCGAAGAAAGAUUAGAAUACGCUAUAAUUAAUUUAAUCAUACACCAUUUUUUUUUAUUAGAAAGUGAUUAAUUAUGAAAUAAUUGCGUAUUUCAUAUCUCUCAUGAUGUACAUGACUUUGGAUCGUAUCCAUUGAGAAUUUCAUACCUCUCAUGAUGUACAUGACUUUGUAUCGUAUCCAUUGAGAAUUGAGAAUGACGGAAUAGAAAAUCAGGCAGAAGUGCAAUAAGAAAUAGUUGAAGACAGUUACACUAUUGAUCAGGAGGGUGUUGAACAUGAACCUUCGAAUUUGGCUUUAAUGAGAAUAUUGUGGCGGAAGAUCACCACUAUUGAUCAGGAGGGUGUUGAACAUGAACCUUCGAAUUUGGCUUUAAAUGAGAAUAUUGUGGCGGAAGAUCACCACUAUUUGAUAUUCCCGUCAACAUCUAUCCCUCCAUUUGAUAUUCCAUCUACGUCAAAGGUACCCUAUUUUGAUAAUCCAUUCACGCAUAUCCCUCCCUCCAACGUUCCAUUAACAUUGGAGGUUCGUUGCGAUAAUGUUGUAAAUUGACGUAGGCGACGACGACAAGGUCAUAUUGAGACGUUGGAAGGGAUACUGCCAUCGGCCGUUGAGUAAGGGAUGGAGCCGAUUGUCGAGGGCACCGCCAUCGAGCAUAUUGAUCAGAUGCAUGGUAUUGAGCCCGUGCGUCCUGAGAUGGAGCAUAAUAUGCAUAUUCAAGGACGGGAUCGAGGACGCGAACGUGGACGUGGAAGUGGCAGGGGACGAGGGCAAGAGCAUCGGAGGAGCAUGUAGGGGCAUGAUAUGCAUAUUCAAGGACGGGAUCGAGGACGCGGACGUGGACGUGGACGUGGAAGUGGCAGGGGACGAGAGCAAGAGCAUGGGAGGGGCAUGGAGGGGACUUGAUUAUUUUAUUAUUUUUUGGAUUUCCAUGAAUAUUUGAUAUUUUUGAUCUUUUCCACAUAAAUUUUUUUAUAGUAUUAUCUUAAAUUUAUUCAUAUUGAAGUGUGUUGAUAUUGGUAUAGCUUAUUUUAUAUGCUUAAAGUUUAGUUGAAGUUGGUAUAGAUAAAUUUAUGUACUUAUUCCUGUAAUUGAAAUACUUGAAAAUAUUGUUAUUUUGUAUAAUGUGGAAAACUUGCAACUUGUUGCUAUGGGUGCGAUACAAGUUAAAGGCGGUGAAUGGUUCACCGCCUUUAAAGACGGUAAUUUACCACCUUUAAAUGCGAUGAAUGAUUCACCAUCUAUAUAUGUGGUAAUUCAUUUACCGCCUUCAUCAUGUUUUAUAAUGUUUCACGAGUAGGGAAUAUUACAUAAAGGUGGUGAACCAUUCACCGCCUUCUUAGAUUUUUUUUAAAAAUUUAUGAAAGCGGUGAACCAUUUGCCGCUUUCAUGUGAAAGCGGUACAUGGUUCACCACUUUAAUUUCCCUCCGUUGGCUCACUGCCUACGUGUCAAUUCCAAGCCUAUUUUCACAAAUAUUAUUUUCAUAGGCCUAUUUUUAGAAUAAAUUGUUUUGAUGAGGUUAGUAGGCUAAAAACACUAUUUUCGGCGUUUGCACCUACUAGAAAUUUAUUUCAAGUUCUUACCCGUUUGUUGCUUACUCCUUUUCAGAUCAUACUACCACCGGUGAGGCACAGGACAGCGGCAACGGCGUCAUGGAGUAGCUAAAUCUGUGAGUUGGUCUGGUGUGUACCCAUUUUGUAUAAACAAAGAGAACGUGUAGUAUUUUGGAUUCGAACAAAGAUGAAUGAUAGUUUAAUUUACUUUUAUUAUUUCUCAACUUGGGAUCAAAAAAAAAAAAAAAAAAAUCCAAGACAAAUAAUCACAAGGCAUUAUAAUUGGAAAUGUUGCUUGGCGUUCAGGAAACCUGUGUAUCAAACAUCAUACAUUCAGACACCAAUUUUGAAAAAAUCGAACAAUAUCAUUCUCUAGGUCGCCACAUACUGGUUUGAAACACAUUUAAUGCAUAGAUAAUAAAUUUCAAAACUAAAAAAUUCUUCUAUACAUGAACUCGUAUUAUCAAUCUGAUCUAUAAAUUUAAAUUUAGUGGUGAAAUUGUAUAGAGCGGACUAUCCAACUUUCAAAAAUUCACAUUGUAUUAUCCAAGAUUUUAAGUGUCCGUCGACACGGACCGUAUCCACCGUGUCGUACCGUACCAACAAGAUACAGGCAAGAUACAGACUCCGUGCCGAAUUGCCGAUGGCACAGCUCAAAACCCUCUAUUCUUUAAAUUAGUAAAUAAUUUUCUUAAUAAAAUUCAAAAGAUGUAAUAAAAAGACAUAAAAAAUAGUUAAAAUAUUUUGUUGCUAUUUUGUUGCUAAAGAAAAUAAAUAUUUUUUUGACCGGCACGCAUCGGCACGGCUCGGUACGCACCGUGCCGGCAAGUUUUCGGCACGAUCCCGUGCCACGGCACUUAAAUCCUUAGUAUUAUCUAACCUUUUAAAUAGUUUGAUUUGCCUUCUUAAAUAUACUCGUAAGCGCCUAGUGCAUCCAGAUAUUUUUACACAUAAAUUUUCUUCUUUUUUUUUUAACAUGCAGCUCACGUUGCUAAUUCAUCGGCUCAAUAUUUUAAUAAGAAAAUACAAUUUAUUGGACGAUCGAGAUUCAACAAUCAAACAAAAAAAAAGACCAUUAGAAAGGCAGUAUACAAAUAUGCAAAUGCAACCGGAUACACACUAAUUUAUUUAUUUUUCUCAGUUUCGUAUACUUUCACCAAAUUUAAUUUUAGCGGUCUGGGUGGGAAGCAUCUCUGUUCCACUAAAUGACAUGUUUGCACGGCAGUAGAUGUGUCUCUGCACCAUUAGCAAAAGAUCAACAAAAGAGGAAUGAAUAUAAUAAGAGGAAUAAGAUUACCAAUUGAAUUCAACACUAAUUCUCCAUAUACAGAACCCUGAGGCUUCUAAAUAAUAAUAAUAAUAAUAAUAAUAAUAAUAACUUGGAUAUGGGCCAUCAUAAAGAAUCACGACAUUGUAAACACAAGUAGAACGAGAUACUGCCCCUAAACUCUGAAAAACAUCACCCAAAUUUAUGUUUAAAAAAGGAGAUUCAAUUAAACCUUCAAAUAGCUUCUUAAACAGGGAAAUAAAAAAUCUUUAUCAUUCAUUUACCGAAGCAAAGCACUAAAGAGAGAGAGAGAGAGAGAGAGAGAGAGAGAGAGAGAGAGCUCAUCCAAAACCAUUUCAAUGUCAAAACAACAUAUACUCAGAAAUAGCAACAAACCAGAACAAAAAUUCAUGCCAUUAGCAACUAACACAGAGGCAAGCAUCUAGCGCCUGCUGGUUUUUCCGAUACUACGCUUCCCGGAGAACAAGUGCUUCGGCUUCAAGUCGACGAUGACCCGAUCUGCCUCUCCCUUGCGAGCAGCUUUAUUCCUCUUCUUCACAGAUUUCUUCCCAAUCUUUAUCGCCUUGAGUUUCUGGGCUGAGUCCUUGAAUCCUUCUCCAGGGGAAACUUCACCAGGCGGCCGCGACUUCGACCUGGACCUCGACCUGGACCUCAACCUUAGCUUCUUGUUGGCUUGCUCUCCGUCUACAUCCAUGGCUUCGCCCUCUCCUUCGCUAUCCCUACCCACCAAUGAUCUCUCACGCUUCCGACCCCUCAUCGACACCGACCUACUCCGUGCACGGUUAAUAGCUGCAGUGGGGUCCAACCCGAUGGCAGAAAGUUGCCUCCCCAUCCUCUCAGUUGUGAACUUUCUAUCCUUGUCAAACUUUCUUGGAACAAUGGGGCGGCUCUCGGCGGUGCUCUUCUUCAUUCUAUGUUCUUGGAUGAGCAACCUCUUCUUGUGCCUAAUUGCCGCCAAAGCCUCACGCUCUUGAGGAGACAGGUCUUCAUCGUCAUACUCAAAAUCUUGUUCCUCCACCUCAAGCCGAAGGCCCUCCUCUCUUUCCAACUCUUCCAGCCUCUGCAGUAUAUCGGGAUCGACGAAAUCAGCAAUAUUGUGCCCAUCUACUAUCUCUGGCAUUAUAUCUUCCUUCCACUCCUCGUUGGCCAAUAAGUAGUGCUUCCUUAAGUUUGCCGAAUAAACACCGGCCCCACCAUUCUCGUUCUCCAGAUCCUUCUCAAGCUUCCUCUUUGCCUUCUCAGCAGAAGCCUCUUUAGCUCGGGCUUCCAAAACAGCUUGAGGAAUGCAGGGCGGCCGCUCCUUGUUGUCACGAGGUUUUGGCAUAGCAACAUGGAACCGAUUCAAGCAUUCAUUUAUCUUCUUCGACUUCAUCUUCACCUCCACCCUCUGAUCGAGGAGCCUUUCGCAAGCAGCAUUCUUAACGGCCAUCACCCCUUCAUCUGUUAAAGUGCUCAUGGUCACUAGCACUCCCUCAUCAUUAGGCGCUCCGCCUUGCGCCGCCGCAGCCUUCAUGGCCUCGGCCUUCAUCUCCAUCACCAGCUUCUUGUCCUCCUCAGAAAGCCCCUCCAACGGCUGGAGAUCAAUCUUGUUGCACACGAUAAUAAGAGGCUUAUUCAUAAACAGCGACUUAAUGCUGUGGAAGAGCGCCGCCUGCUGGGCAAUGCUGUACCCACAAGCCCCCGAAAUGUCUAACACGAAAAGCACAGCCGCCCUUAGAUGCGCGAGGGCGGUGAUGCUGCACAUCUCUAUAAUGUUCCUAUCCUCAAAUGGACGGUCAAGAAUCCCUGGGGUGUCGAUAACUUGGUAGCGGAGGUACUUGUAAUCGGUGUGGCCCACAAGUAAGGAUUUGGUCGUGAAGGCGUACGGCUGGACAUCCACCUCAGCCCUAGAGACCUUGUUCACAAAAGAGCUCUUCCCCACGUUCGGAUAACCACAAACCAAGACAGUACGAGUGUUGGGGUCUAUAGAAGGGAGCCGAGACAUGUGCUUUCGCACUUGCUCCAAAUAAGCCAAGCUAGGGCCGAUACGCUUAAUAACAGUGCACAUUCGCCCUAGGGCGGCAACCUUCAAGCAUUUGCACCUAUAAAGUGAAUCCCCGUACUUGAGUAGCCUGACAUAGUCUUUGGCAAUCUUCCCAAUGAGGUUCCUCGCUGUGUUGACCUGACCAAGGGCAAGCUUGUAGUGGUCCUUGUUGUAAAGGACGUGAAGGAGGUCACCAUAAAAAGGGUGGAUACCGUCCAAUCGAGGGAACUCGUCUAUUAUGGUGGAAAGCUUCUCAUGGAAGUUCUGCUGUGUGAAGCGGACCUUUCGCAUGUAGAAUUGGCGGAGGCGGGAGAUGGCAUAUCCUUUGUGGACGACUGUUGGGGUCUGGCGCUGGGUGCGGGAGAGGAUUAUGUUGAUGAAGUCCUCCUUGGGCGGGACUAUUGUGAUUUUCUUUAAGUUGUAUUGGACCAUCUUGCUGAUUUAUGUUACCUGCAAGAACAAAAAUAAUAGUCACAGCAUAGCAAAACCAAAAAUAAACAGAAAAACAUAACAAGAUGGCGGAUAAUGAAUCAUCUCGAAAACACGCCCGUAAGAUGACCUAAUAAACCAGCUAUGAAAACUAACUCAAGGUCGCCAGAUAAAAACCAUGAACUACUCUCCCCACCUCAGAACACACCAACAGCCACAAAUAAUCAUUCAAUAUAACUUACUGCAAGUUGAGAAUUCAGCAAGAGAUCAGUGAAUUGAAUAAAAUAAACAAGUGGCCCGGUUGAUGAAGAAUACAUAUGUAACAGUAGACUUAUACCUAAAAGAAAAUAUCCAGAGUAAUCAUUUUAUAACCUUUCAUUGUCAGAGUAGCAAAAACUAAAGAGAGAUUGAAUAAUUAAAUGGCAAUAAAAUACUUUAAAAAUUAUCAAAUCACAUAAAUAAUUACCAACAUCAUGCACUAGCAAAAUAAUUUAGAAAAAACAAUAGGUCGGCCCAAACUACAUAUAUUAUUCAUAAAUCUAGAAAAUGAAGAACGGUGUAUCAAAAAAAUGAAGAACACUGGAACUUCUCAUAUCCCAGACAAUCGGGAGACCCAUCAACUGAUAGAACCACACAAGCAACAAAUUAUGUACGGAAAGGCUAAGCAAUCAAAUCAAAACAACAGUGCUAAUCACUCGAAUAAUUUCGCAAUCUGCAGUACUUAAAUCUUUUCAUUUGUGGGCCAAAGUUUCAAAGUAACUUCGAUAUUCAGAACUCUCAAGUCCGAAUACAAUAAAUUAACAAAAGACGACAGAGAAAAACUAGAGGAAGAAUAACACAACAGCUUGGUGUUCAACCUAUAAAAGUUCAAUAAUAUUCUUUUUCAAAAAUUAAUCCAACAAGACACACAGAUUUUGAAUGUUGAAUAGAGAGAAAAGAAGGUGAAGAUCCAGAAAAUAAAAAAGAAAACAGAAUAGUUAUAUUUUUCGUCUCAGCAAAUCAAUCUUCAUACUAGAAACAUGAGAUGGAAAGCAGAAAACAUCUACAAAAAACCAGAGGGUUUGCAUGGAAAAAUCAUUCUCUAGGUUAUCUAAAAACAAUGAGUUUCUUCAAGCAAAUCUUUGAAAAAACUACUAUCAUAAUAUCUCAGAUUUUGAUCAAACCAUACUAUACUAGUAUUAUUAUUUAAUCAUUGGAUCAUUUAUUUUUCUUGAAAUCGGUUUAAUUCAGAGACUCCUCAAUCAUCAAUCAAUCAAAAAUCUAAUGUAUAAUAGGUAAUGUAAAGCUAUAGAAUUUAGAGGACAAAUGAGACACUUAAAGCUUUUAAAACCAUGCAUCCUAAAAAUUUACUAAAUACAUCAAACUAAAUCACAAUAUUGUGGAUAUUCUAAUUAAGAAGAAUGCAUUGAGAAUAAUCAUAUCAGAAUACUAAAACAAAGAAACGUCAUCUUUAUAUAGUUAUGUGCAGCGAUCAAUCUGCAAAGAGUUAGAUAGAGAUAACCACCUAAGGUCUUAAGAUUCAUCUAAUUUUACCUAAUAUUUUCCACAAUAACUAUCAUUCCAAAAUUUCGAAUGCCAUUCGUUCAGCUUGGAAAUCUAAUUUGUUGGGUAAUGAAUUACUGAUCUGACUAUAUGGAUAUAUAAUCUAGCAUAAUAAACCAAAUAUGUAAUAUGUCGUAAAUAAAGCUGAGUCACUAAUAUUGUUGACCAAGUACCUCUCCAUGUCAUGCUUGGCAGUCUCUGUUGAUUGAGCCUUCGCUCUACAAUGCCGACAAGUGCACAUAUAUACUUAGAAUCUAAUCUCAACUACUCAAUUCAAGUACAUUUAAUUUCGGGGUUAACCAUCUCAUCUACCUAAUCGAAAGAGAAAUUGAACUACUUGAUCUCAGUUGAAAUAGAAUUCUUGAAAAUCAUGCUUACAAAGUCUUCCUUUCAGAAUUGACUCAAAUAUAGUAAGUUAAAAUUAACGAUUCAUCUGUUGAAACAAAACUAAGCUAAUAUAAUCUACUUUAACAAAUUACACAUUAGAUGGAAUUCUAAUCUUUAAAUCUCGAUUGUUUAAUCCAAGCAUGAAAUGGAACAACAUAUUAAUUAAAUCUUUACUUUUUAGUUUCAGUUCAAAUUAAAUUCAAUUAUAUGUCAGCUAUUUAAUUCAAACGUGCACAUAGAGUUCUAAGCAAGAUCACAGUUUUCCCAUCAUGUAUCAAUGUAUCAUUUCUUCCCAUCUAUCAAAUUUUUCCACAAUAUUUAUUACCUUAUUCUUUCAUUUGUCACAAUACUUAUUACCUUAUUCUUUCAUUUGUCUUUAUGCUUACAUAAGAUGAUAUUUCCCCCCCCUCUCCCAUGCAUUGCAUAGGAUUAAAGCUAUAUCUAUUCUGAUCCUCACAAAAUCACUGAACUAUGAAGCAAGCCAAAUAUAAAUUACACUCAAUUAAAAAGUCCAAAUGGAUAAAAAUUUGCACAAAGACAAGUAAAAGAUAGCAUCAAGAAUAAACGGAAAGAAUAAUCGGAAAUAACUCGAGUAUAUCAUGACAAUUAUUUUCUAACAAAACCCCAAUCCUAGGUCAAGGAUGCGAUAAUUUAAUAGACCCAAAGGGCAUGCAAGACCAAAAUCUAAUUCACAUAUUCAAACAAAAUAAUCACUGCGAAAAGUAGUCAUUUAAAAUCUCAAAAUGCAUACAUAAUUGUAAUGGUAUCUUUAAAGAUUUAGAGGACAAAAAUUUCUUAAAUACAACAUAUAAAUUAGUGCAAUGACCAUUCCCGCUGGCACUAAUAACUCGUUGGACCUAAACACCAGCUCAAAAUGCUUAGGCUUAAUUAUUAUUAGUAGAGUGUAUGGUCCUUGGAUUCCCAAUCAUUACCCCUUUUUCUAUCCGAUGUGGGACUAUUGGGGCGUUAGAAACUUUUCCCAUUUACGUCCUUGUUAGGUCUCAUUCCCUAAAUCCGAGAUCACUAGGCGACAUAAGACCCAUCUCGCACUUCUGGCUGGCAAAUCAGCUCUGAUACCCGAUCCUUACAUUCCCAAUCAUAAUUCCUUUCCUAUACGACAUGAGACUAUUGGGGCAUUACAAUUAGAGCUCUACAAUAUAGUUUACUAGCUAGAAAAGAACUUGUACCAACUUUUGAAUCUCGAAAAAUACUAAGUGGAAUCAAGACAGAUAUGAGCUUGCUGUUACAUUAGCAGAAGUGACAUCCAUAAACCGAUUACUUCCCAACAUACGUCAGAUUCACCAUCACGUGGCAACCGUUCUUAUCAAAAGAAAUUGUUAAUAGCAUAUAGCUCUAAUUAAUUAAAAACAAAAUAGUACAAAAUUUGAAUGUUUUUCAUAAAUCAAUUUUCAUAGAUGUACAAUAUGGUUUCUUGCCAGCAUAUUAAAAUUCGUAGCUGAGCGAUAAAAGAAGAACAAACUAUGUAGCCAUUACAAUCUCUUAAAAAAGAAUCACAUAGAUGGUAAAAAUUUAGUAUCCGACACCAAACUAGUUCAUAGAUAAGGAAGUAUCAACAAACUAUGAAUUUUCAUAAAAUAAUGGCUAAAUUGCACUUUUGGUCCUCAAACUUUGUCACGCGCCACUUUGGUCCUCAAACUUUUAUUUCUUGCAAUUUUUGGCUCAAACUUUUUAACUAGUUGCAAUUAAGCCCUACAAUCCCUACAGCUUUGCUGAUAUGAUAAUCAUAGUACUGUGGCAUCUUAAUAAUUAAUACGUUAUCGAGUACUAUUACAUCACUACAGCAAUAUUGACACCAUUAUUGUAUUAGGAAAAUUGGACUUUAGGACUUAAUUGCAACAUUUUAGAAAGUUUGAGCUAGAAACCGCAAUAAAUUAAAGUUUGAGGACCCAAGUAUCAUGCGCCUAAAGUUUGAUGACCAAAUGCGCAAUUUACCCUAAAAUAAUUUGAUCAUAAAAUAUUCACUGCAAACAGAAGGUAGACUCUAUCAGCUUUAUUGCCCAUUGAAAGACUCCAAAACCAGAUAACUGGACUAUAGUCUGAAGCCAGAACAAUGUUAGCCGGUAAAUGUAACCAUUUGAUUUUGCCGAUUGCCACGUGUUUACUCGAGCACUACUUUGUUCCAUGAAAAACAUCUCGACAUCAGGAUCUUGGGUCGAUGCGUGUGUCAUUAACUCUUCCUCUAGGGUUUUUAAUUUUAGGCCAACACAUGAUUAAUAAGGGAAUAAAAAAUAUAUAAAUUUUUCCCUAACAUUUCCAAAUCAGAUCCAGAAAAAGGGAGAUUAAAAAAAAAAAAGGAGAUCCAAAACUAGAUAAAUAAGAAUCAAAAAUACCAAAGUGCUUGUUACGCAUGUCCUGUAGAAAGAUUGCAACUAAAUGAAACAAGACAUGGCUUAAGAUCUGACGAAGUUUGCAACAGAUCUGUAAUCAAUAUGUGAAAAAGAGGGGCAUAAACACUCCUUAAAUCGACGAAAAAAGGACAUGCGUAACAAGCACUUUGGUAUUUUUGAUUCUUAUUUAUCUAGUUUUGGAUCUCCUUUUUUUUUUUUAAUCUCCCUUUUUCUGGAUCUGAUUUGGAAAUGUUAGGGAAAAAUUUAUAUAUUUUUUAUUCCCUUAUUAAUCAUGUGUUGGCCUAAAAUUAAAAACCCUAGAGGAAGAGUUAAUGACACACGCAUCGACCCAAGAUCCNUUUUUUUUUUUUUUUUUUUCAUGGAGAGCCUCUAUUUCAGUUUUACGUCUAUUUGAUUAUUAUUAUUAUUUUUUUAAAGCUAGCUUUUAUGACAAUCUGUUUUCCAAAUUUUAUAGCAAAUUAAUGCUUGAAUUUUUCGAUUUGGCGUGAUUUAAUUUAUUUUAAUUUAACUUUUAUAUUUUUUAUUAAAAUUUAAUAAAAAUGAUAAUAAAUUAAAAACACAUAUUUAUAUUAAAGAAAAAAAUUUAAGCUCCUUAUGUUCAUGUUAGUAUAUAGGGGGUCAAAUGGUUAUAAUCUCAAACCUAUCUCUAUUUCUUCUUCUCAUCACCCACUCUCUCUCUCGCUCUCUAUCUCUCUCUAUAACUUGUUCUCGGUGCAUACCCAUCUCCAUCUCUCAGGUUAUGUUUGUUUCACCAUAAGUAGGGAGGGGGGAAGUGAUUUUCGGUAAAAACUAAUCACUUUCGCUGUUUGGAAACUUAAUUACAGUAAUUUUUUGGGUUACUCUCUCUCUCCCUCUCUCCUUUCCCCUCCCCUCUCAACUCAACAUUCAUCUCUCUUUUUCUCUGCAAACACCAAAAAAAAAAAAAAUCUAUCUUUUUUUCCCCUUCACCCCGGAUCAUUGCCAAGUCAACUCCUCCAUCUCCUUCGUCCCUAGAUCAUUUCGAGCCCACUCCUCCAUCUGUGGUGACUAUCAGGUUCAUAUUGUUCAUCUUCUUUUUUUUUCACAUUUUGCUUCUUCAACCCUUUCCCCUCUCUCUCACCACUCAUCUUCUUCCAUCUCAGAUCUCGUAUUCCAUCCCCUUCCAUUUCGCCAGUGACAAGAUUUGCAAAUAGAUAUUUUAUUUUGUUUAUUUUUUUAAUUUACUGCAGUUUUUAAUUUUUUUUAUUUACCGUAAUUUUUAUAUUUUUGCUCUGAUUUUUAAAAGAUUUAAGAUUUAGUAUUAUAACUAAUCAUUUUUCUUUUUCUUUUUUUUGGUUUAUAGUAUACACAUGUGUGAUCAUAAUCUUACACUAUUUAAAUUGAGAGAACAUUCCAUACACGUGGCAAUCGGGGAGGUGUUUUGAUACACGUGGCAAUCAGGGGCGUUCCCCCCUCUCUCCCAAAACCCCUUCCCUAAACCGACCGCACCCUCUCUACCCAAACCCCUUCCCUAAACCGACCGCACCUCUCCAAACCUAUUCCCUGAACCGACCGCACUUCUCUCUCUCUUUUGCCGUCUCUCUGCCUCCUUCUCUCUCUCCUCCUCCCUACAUCUCUCUCUACCCUCCUGAACCGAACGCCAGCCCUCUCCCCCGAAACCCUUCGCUCCCUCUCACUCUCUCCUAAACCGAACACCCAUCUCUCUCCUUCUCUCUCUCUCGCGCCGUCUCUCUACAUCCCUCUCUCUCUUCGCCCCGCUCUCUAUCUCUACCAUCUAUGCUCCUCUGUCACACUCAACCGAUCGACCCUCUCUCUCUCUUCGGUCCUGGGCUCUGCUGCUCUCUCUCUACCAUCUCUGGUCCUCUCUUACGCUCAACCGAUCGCCCCUCUCUUUCUCUCUCUUCGAUCCUGGAGAGAACAGUGUGGAUCCUCUCUCAUCAGAACCCCUACGGCUAUGCCUAUUGUGGCGUCUACAGGUGACCCCUACCCCUCUACCUCUGGCCUCUACAGGUAAUCUUCUCUCUCGCCUUUCUAUUUACUACUGUCUGCUUGCCUUAGCCGGCUCUAUGCCGUCCAUUCAGCCUUCUACGGCUGCGAUGGUGUGUUGCACUCUCCAUGGCCCCUAACCCUAGAUCUAUUUGCCUCCUACUCCUCAGAGGGGCACGAAAGAAACGACCCCUAGGCUGCUGUUUGACCCCUAUAACCAUUGUGAGAUCUUACAAAAAAAUGAAAAAAUCUCCUGAGAUUUUACUUGAUAUCUAUUUAAUCCCUAUUGCCAGAAGCUCUAUUCAAAAAAAAAAUUUCUAAAGAUAUUCUGAGAUCUUAAAAAUAAAUAGGGAGAUAUCCUGAGAUCAAUUCUAUCAUCAUCAUGUCUGCUUUUAUACUUAAAAAAUUGAUAACUCCAGCUUCCUGGACAAAAGGCUUAUACUUCAAAAAAAUUUCCCUGACGCCUGCUGGACAAUAAGGUGUUUAAGAUUUUGUGUCUUUCUGAGCCUAUAAAUAGCAUGUACUGUUUACCCAAAAAAAUAGUACGAGCCUCUCUCUCUGCAGUGUAAGGUGAGCUAUUUUGAUUGGCUGCAGACCCCUCUAUCUGUUCCUAUAUACUGGCUUCUUAUAUUUGGACCACCUCUACACUAGCUGGUGUUUGCUCAUGAAAAACUAUUGGAUUGGGAAGGUUGCUUGGGUAUUCCAUGCAAAGGCAACCAUUUGCCACAGAUUGGAUGGGCUUUCUAUGUGAACCCAUCUACUACUAUCUAUUGCCUGGCACUGCUAUAUUGGGGGUUUUCUAAUGUUUUUGUUCCUGCUGUCUCUGUUUUCUAAUGUCCAUAUUCUUGAUUUCUUUGCUUCUUCAUCUAAUUUCUUUAUUUUUUUGGAGGCAAUGAUGACAACUGUAUCAAAAAAGUAAAAAACUCUUAACUUUCUUUGGGCUGUGAAACUGCCUGCUAUUUCGGGAGAGAAAUUUUUUUCUUGCUGCUUCUAUUUCCUGUAUGCAAUCUUUUCCGCCCCCGGAAAGCAUGGCUUCUGUGUUCUGUAGGAGGGCAACCAUCUAACAGAGAUUGGACGACCUAUUAAAGGGAAGCCAUCUAAUACUGUUUGUUGACUGAUGCUGCUAUAUUGGGUUCUUCUUUUGCGUUUUCUGACCCUGUCUUCUCUCCCAGCAUGAAGUUCGGCCGAGAUUUGCCUAUGCAAGUGACGACGGAAAUGCUUUUACUUGGUUCCAUUUCUCACACUUUACCUGAGCCUACCUGUUUUAUUUGUUUGGUUACAUGUUCCAAUUACUUCCUUCAUGUUUGUAAUCAUUUAUUAUCUGUUUUAUUUCCUUACUCUUCUUUCCAGACUGUGUUUCUUACUUCCUUGUUUUCUUUUCUUUACUUUACUAUUUUGCUUUCUCUGCUCUUCUUCUUUAUUACUUGGUUUUUUUUUUUCGGUUCCUGUUUUCCUUGGUUUUUUUUUUUUUACUUCACUUUUCGAGGCGAUGAUGACUAUCUCUUACGUUCCAUUUACAUCUUGUGGCUAUCUUAUUCCUGGCGACUUCUACCUCCCUUUAUAAAUCGAGGGUUGUUUUGGAUUCAAUUUCUUCCUCCCUAUGCCUUUUUUUAAAAGAACGGAGGGUUGUAGUGGAUUGGCGCAUUAGAAAGCAACUGUCUACACUAGACAGUACGGCUUUUCCAUGCGCAACCAUCUAUCACUUCUCCCCUUCUUACCUUACUUGCUCUUUUUUUUUCCCCUUCCCCUGCGCUCUCCGGCAGCAACUUUUCUUCAAUGUACAAGGUGUAAUUGGCAUUCCUGCCUUGCGGUGCGGCCACGCUUGAUGUUAGUGAACUGUUCAUUCUAGGUUGGAUGGCCUAAUUAAAGGCAACCACAUUCUAAUGCAUUUUCUAUUAUUGCUUACUACCGUGGGUUUGGUUGGAUGCUACCACCUACUGUAAAGCUUAUGGCGAAAAAAAAAAGAGAUGAUACAUGCUUUCAUGUUAGACCUGAGCCUCACCGUUUUUCCUUCUUCUAUUUUUCUUUCUGGAUUAUUUGUGUACUGGACUUGCAUAUUUUUCAACCUAUUUUUUAACUUUACAUAUUUGUCUUCACUUGCUGUAAUAUUCUUUACUCUAUUUGAUCCUGGUGUUUUCUUCUUUUCUUGAUCAUUUCCAUUGUUUGUUGUGUAUUUCUUCCUUUUUUUUACCUUUUUCUUUCACCUCCCACCUUGCUUCUUGGCAGUACCUUACUUACAUCUGCGCCAUUCUAUGGUUUAUACUUCCUUUAUUACAGUUCUUUAUAAAAAAAAAAGCAUUAUUGACCUACUUUCCUUGCAAUCUGAACCAUGGCGACUUUCCACUUUUCUUACGUUAGGAUGCUUGGCGAAGUUUACGAGCAACUCGGCCUCGGCAUGCCCCAAAUUGUAGUGGUCCCCGAUACCGAAGGCAGGUUCGUUGGAUACAUAGAUCUGCAAAUUCCACGCAACGAAACUGUCAUCCAAACUGUCCGUUGUUUGAGUUCCCAGCUCCCAACUGCUACUGCCGCUGAACAGGAUGCUGCGCGUCUAGCUAUGAAGAGGCUUAAGGAAGAAUGCGACUUUCAAUUCAAGGAUAUUAAUUAUGAUGACUCUCUCUUAUACAAGAACUUAUACGACCACCAAACAACCAACUGUGCUGUUAUAUCUGCACAGUAUAGUAAUCUUUCUAGAGAGCAUAGUUUCCUUAAGGAGUGUUAUGUUACUACAGUCGCUCAAAAGAAUGAAUAUGUAAAUGAGCAAAUUAAGCUCCGGAAUGCCAUAGGGGAAUGCUACGCUACUAUGAACCGUAUUACUGUUGAACUGCCUACUGACGCCGCGGACCCCUCUCAGGCUAUGUCCAAUCAGCAUGCUUAGUUGCUCAGGCUACUUAGUUGGUCCAUGCUUUUGUUUCCAGCAAAGUUCUUUCACGCAUGGCAUUUUGGCUUGGUAUUAAAUAAUAUAUGUACUUUGCUGUGUAAUUACCGUUCAACAGUUUAUGCAAGUUUUAUUUCACUUCAAGUUCUCAUUGCGGUUUGUCGUUCAACAGUUUAUGAAACUUUUAUUACGCUUCAAGUUCUCAUUGCGGUUUCUUCACAUGAUCCUUCUGUUUUUACUUAAACUUAUGGCUAAAAAAAAAAUGAUGUAUCUGUAGUUCCUGAGCUCAUUACUUUUCUUUUAAUAUUUCUUCUUUGAUUAUUUACCUACUGUUCUUUCGUUCUUACUUCUUAUUGUUUUUUUUCUUUUUCCUUUCCUAUUAUUUGCUUCUCUCUAUUUAAUCGUGUUUUCCUUUUUCCUUUAGUCCUAGCACAUGAGCUUUUGCCUUCUCUUCCCCCCCCACCCCCUCCCUACUUUCUUUUAAUAUUCUCUAGACAUGAGCUUUUCUUUAGUCCUAGCACAUGAGCUUUGCCUUCUUCUUCCCCCCCCCCCCACCCCCUCCCUACUUUUCUUCUUCUUCCUGUAGUUCCUGAGCCUCACUACUUUUCUUUUAAUAUUCUCUUCUUGAUUAUUUACAUACUGUUCUUUCGUUCUUUACUUCUUAUUAUUUUUUUUUUUUUCUUUCCUAUAUUUGCUUCUCUCUAUUUAAUCUGUGUUUUUCCUUUCCUUUAGUCCUAGCACAUUGAGCUUUGCCUUCUUCUCCCCCCCCCCCCCCACCCCUCCCCGCCCUUUUUUUUUCCCCUGUUUUGAAGAGUGUACCGAUUGUCCUCUUUCCGUAUUACUGGUUUUCUCAACGUGUGGGCAAUAAUGCAACUCUUGAUGAUGGAGAAUUUACUGCUUCUCUUUGUUCUUUGCUUCUUUUUUAUGUGUGAUUACUUCAUCAUUUGUGUCCCUUCUUUAUUACUAUUUGUGCAAAUAAUUUACCAUGAAAAUACAUGGGCUCCUAAAGUGUGAGAAAUGGGGCCAACUUCAGCACUUUCUUCUACACCUGGCGAGGGAAGUCCAACUCCAACUGCAUGCUUAGAGGAAACAUGGCACUUUACUUCUUUUUUUUUUCUCUCUCUUUGUUUUUUACCCUUUUUCUUUUAAAACAUUUUUGUCCCCUACACUGAGUUCUCUUAAAGUGUACAAAGUUCCAUAAACUGCAUCUCUAGCAUCUCUAGCAGAUGGAUCAUGUGAAGAACUUUGUAGUAAACAUUUGUAGUAAACAUUAUCCUCUAUAAUGAGGCCCAAAAAUGUUUACUACAAAAUGCAUCCAAGAAUAAGAACUUUGUAGUAAACAUUUUUGGGCCUCACUAUAGCAUCCAAGAAUAAGAACUUUGUAGUAAACAUUUUUGGGCCUCACUUUGUAGUCAUCGAAUUAUUGAAGAAGAGAUCUUUACUAGUAAUCAUAUUGGCGAAAAAGUUUACAUCCCUCGCAUUGUAAUGAACGUAACAGAUUCAAAAUGGCUAUUUGUAUUAAAGCGAAGAAAGUUUCCAAUUCGAUUGAGUUAUGCAAUGACUAUCAAUAAAAGCCAAGGCCAAACAUUGCGAAGAGUUGGCCUUUUUUUAUCCCAACCUGUAUUUUCUCACGGACAGCUUUAUGUGGCGGUUUCACGAGUUACUUCUAGAGAAGGGUUGAGCAUUUUCAUAGAUAAUAAGGAUGGCGAGCCUCAAGAUUAUACAAGAAAUGUUGUUUACUGUGAAAUAUUUGCAGAUCUAUAAUGGUUGGUUGUUUAUUAUGCGUUCUUUCUGUUUCGAAAUAUUCAGUCCUUCCUUUCUUUUUUUUUCCUUACCAUGUUUAUAUAUAUAUAUAUAUAUAUAUAUAUAUAUAUAUAUAUAUAUAUAUAUAUAUAUAUAUAUAUAUAUAUAUAUAUAUAUACAACAGACCUACAAAAUAGCAAUGGAGUACGUACUAUUAUCUGAAUUAUCGUUGCAACAUCAAGAUUGCAAGAUUAAAGUUCGAAUGUGUCGACUUUGGGAAUCAUCUGCUCCUUUUCUUAAAGGAGAUAUAUUUGGUUUAGAUUGUUUGCUGGUGGACGAAAAGGUACUGACACAUUUACUUUACAUUUUUACGUUUCUUUUGACUAUUUUCAGAUGUAUAUAUUUAUUAUUAUGCUGUGAUAAUUAGGGUAUUCUCUGAAAGGAACAAUACGUAAAAAAGAUACGGAGGAAUUUAGAUGUCGGCUUACCGAGGGCAAAAUAUAUCUUAUAGAAAAGUUCAAUGUUAUUCCAAGCAAGAAAAAGUUUGUUGCCAUCGAGCGUCCUUAUAUGAUUCAGAUAAAUAAGUGGACAUCUGUAACACUGGUUGAGGAAGAAAUGGACACAAUGCCUUUAUAUAGUUUUAAUUUCUCAACCUUUCCACAAGUCGAAAAUCAAAGAUACAACGACACUGUUCUCACCGGUAAUAUUUAGUUACAGCACAACAUAUUUAGUUAAAAGCAUAGAUUAAAUUUAUAUUGUCAUUUUCUACAAACUUCAUAUUAUAAUUUCCUUGCUUUCUCUCUCCAGAUGUUUUAGGACGACUUAUAGCCAUUGGUGAAAUUUCCCCCCGUUAUAUUGGUCAAAUUUUAACUCCGAUUAGAAAUUUAGAAAUACAAGAUUUGCAGUGAGUUUUUUUGGUCUCUUGAAUCCUGAGCUUAACUACUCCGUUUUGAUUUGUUUGCAUUAAUUGUAUCUACACUCAAUAAAUAUUUUUAUUUUGGGAUGAAUAGCUUAUGUGUUACAUUAUGGGAUAAAUUUGCUUCGGAUUUUGAUGAUAGCUCUAUUUCAAAAAAAGAUCAGAACGUUCAUGUUAUAAUAAUUCUGGCUGGAAUGACAGUUCGUUCUUUUAAAGGUUCGCUCUUUACUUUAAUAUAUUAUAAAAAAAAGGACUAAUAUAUAAGUUUAUUAACUUUCGAUAUUUAUUAUGGAAAUUUAGAGAAAAUACAUUUGUCAACGUGUUCAGCAUCGAAGAUUUACAUAGGCCUCCAAAUUCCAGAGGUUAUAGAGUUUUUGGAUAGGUCUGUAUGCCAAAUCUUAUGCUUUAAUUUAGUUAGUUCGAUUGGUACCUCUUACGGAUCUAAACAAAUGUUUCGCAAAUUACAGCCCAUGCCUAUCUCGAUUCAACAACUUACUGUCUGCCAACAGCAAAUUGUUGGUCCACAGGAAGAAAUUUCUGUGAAUAGGAAAACUAUCUCUCAGUUGUUCGCUCUCGACAUAUCUAACACUCAGGUGAAUUUUAUUUUACAAGUUCAUCCUAUAAAGCUAUUUAUUUUUAUUCUACAAGUUCAUCCUAUAAAGCUAUUUAUUUUGUCCCCAUUAUGUAAAAAUAAUUCCUCUUUACUUUUUAUCAAACAGAAUACGAAGUACACCUGCAAAGCUAAAAUUUUUGAAAUCGACACAUCUUUUGGUUGGUGGUACAAAGCAUGUUAUAACUGCAAAUCAACUGUCAGGACAUUUGGUGAUACUUUUUUGUGCUCCAAUUGUGAUAAGAAUGAUCAAUCUCCUAUACCAUGGUAAUUAUUUUGUUUCUUACAUAAUGUUUCAUAAAUUUUUCAAUAAAAGAACUUACUAUGCAUUCUUUCUUCUUUCCAUUAUAUUGUUAAAAGGUACAAAUUAAAUACCAUUGUUGAAGAUAAUACCGGUUCUACAAAUUUUACCAUCUUCGGCAGAUUGGCCCAAGAUUUGAUUCAUAUUCCGGCUCAAAACCUUGCUACUUCAGCUGGUUUAGAUAAAUUUACUCUUCUUCCUGCAAUUAAAAUAAUUAUUGGAAAUGAACAUAUUUUUCAAAUAGUACCUAACAUACACAGGUUUAGAACAAGUGUUCCUUCUUUUAAGGUCGCCAAAAUUUUUAAUAUUCAAUACGAUAUAAAGGAGAAUACUUCUUCGUCUAAAACUUUAAUGAUCAAAUGUGAAGAAAAACUUGAUUCGCCUACUACUCACAAAGAAGUUCACAAAGAAUUAUUUGAGGAAGCAGCCGCAAGUACAACCAAUUCGUUCAGGUGAUAAUUACAUAUUUACUUCCAUGUUUGCUUUAUGUUAUUAUAUGUGUUUGUCUUUGUGUUUGUGUGUUUUUCAAAGCAACUGAGAUAUAUUGUUUUACCUACAGCUCUCCGCCAUCUGCCGAUGAUAUAAAGGAGAUCCAGCCUUGUGACACCUCAAUAGUCCCACAUCGGGUGGGAAAGGGGUUAUCAUAGUCCCACAUCGGGUGGGAAAGGGGUUGUCAUUGGGUUUAUAAGAGACUUAGACACUAGCAAUAAUAACUGGGCUUAAGCAUUUUGGGCUGUAGUUGGGCCCAACGAGUUAUUAUUGCUAGUGGGCUGGAUCGUUACAUUUGGUAUCAGAGCUGGUUCACCAGCUGGACAUGUGUGGCGAGUCUCGGCUGAGCCAGGGUCUGGAUGACGGGCUAGCGAGACGAGUCUCACAUCGCCUGGUGAUCUUGGGCUGUGUGAUUCCUUAACGGGGGGAGUCUGUGACACCCCAAUAGUCCCACAUCGGGUGGCAAAGGGGUUGUCAUAGUCCCACAUCGGGUGGGAAAGGGGUUGUCAUUGGGUUUAUAAGAGACUUAGACACUAGUAAUAAUAACUGGGCUUAAGCAUUUUGGACUGUGGUUGGGCCCAACGAGUUAUUAUUGCUAGUGGGCUGGGUCGUUACAAGCCUGCCAAAAAAAAAGGCUUUGGUGAGUUAGAAUUUACUUCAUUUCUUACACCUAAGAUUAUGUUAAACUUAUGUUUUUUAUUGUGUUUUCUAUUUUUAUUUGCAGUUUUGGAGAAGGUCCUUCCACAAAUGAAGACCAGCUAUGAAGAUUUAAAAUUUAUGUUUUAGUGUACUGCUAAUUUAUUAUAUUUCCAUCAGAGUUACGCUUAAUGUUGUGUUUUGAUUACACUACUGUAUGUUUAUGAAACUAUUUAAUACUGAGUUACGCUUACUACUGUAUUUUGACUACACUACUGUAUGUUUAUCAAACUAUUUAUCCGCAGUGAAGUGCGGGGUUUUUACUAGUACUACUUGUUUGUUGCAAUUCUUUUAGUUUUCACCCAUCUCUUGUCAAUUUUAUCACUAAUCUAAUUAGGAUAUUUUCUAUACAUAAGUAAUUUUCUCUUGGUAGUUUUAAUUAAAGUUUUUUUUUUUAAAAAUAGAAUAAGAAAAAAGCAUUAAUAAUCUAUACAAUAUCAUUAAAGAGUGAACCCCUAACUGGUUUGGAGCCUUCACUAUGAUUUCGAAAGUAGAUCCCACAGGCAGAGUUUUUCUCUCUGAGAUCUGCCGCCUUGCUGUCUUCCAGCUUCUCCUCCUAUGCUACUCUCUCUUUCUUUCUCUCUCACCGAACCCUAACUCUGCCUAGGGUUAGUACUCUUUUCUUAAUUUCAGGAGUACUCUUUCGCCUAUUUGUGAUGACUCCUCAAUUUCUCUAAAGCGUGGGUCCCCCAUGCAGCGUUCGGCUUCUCCCUACUUGUCACGCCCCGAGCCCCACCUAUUUGGUCGGGUUCGGGCACGCCAAUAGACCGCCGAACGGACAGAAUUUUUCCUGUACGUCCUAGGCGUCGCAAUCAAUACAUUACAAGGAGUUCCAACCAGGAACAGUAUUCAAUACACAGAUUGCAUAAGGAAGUAUCAAAAACAUAAACAGCUACUGCUAUUACAAGCAUUCACAUACAUGCUUUUUACAACACAAUUACAAGUUGUUUUCUUCCAAACACAAUCUAAGUUAUUACAAAUUUAUUGCAAGUUGAUACACUUGUGUUCUUUUCAUUUCCCCUAGGCUAUGCCGACUCGGGGUACUGCUAUCUCUGGUCUCUAGGGUAGGGCACUAUUUACAGAGCUACGCCUUUGCCUCGCGCCGCUCAUGUGCGAACCUGUAACACCCCGAAACAACAUGGGGUGAGAACUAACUCCAUAGUUCCCAGUAGGUACGGCCACCCAAGGAAAAAGCUCGACCAGCAGGUCUAAAGGAGGCAAAUAACAUGUUAGUCCAACGGAUAGAUAUGAAAUCAUAAGUAUGCAACUAACAUUUACAUGCUUUUGCCUCACAAAUGCAAUAAUGCUAUGCUAUAUGCAAUUUAUGCAACAAUGCAACAACAUAAGUAGAUCUAUCGAUUCUACUUCUAUCUCACUAUCUAGCACAUAUUCAACUAGCUUCUAAGGUUUCUACUACCUUAGAUCUAUGUUAUUUACCACUAGCCCUUAAGGUUUCAUCUACCUUAUCCAAGCUUACCACCCGACUCGGCCUCGAGUCAAUCAACUGCGGAUAAUCCGCGCUCUGUCCAGCUCGAGGUGAAGAAACCCUCACAUACACCUCAGCCUUCAAUUCACAAACUACAUCGCCCAACGGGUCGCCCAGAGCUGCUGUAAGGACUGAGACUUUUGCAGUGUAGCUAAACUCUCAGUUGACGAUGUUUUUGUGUGUAAUUUAAUUACAAAAGCACUCGUCAAGUUUCAGGCGAAAAUGAGUUAAAACGAAGAUUCUACGUUAUUUCCAAGUUUCACUUAAAAUGAAUAGUAACUCGAUUUUCCGGAGAAGCCACGGUGUGAAGUUGGCUUCAGGCUCGUAUCGGACUCCGUUCCUAGCGGUCCAAUAGCUCGUUUCGACCGGUUCAGCUGUUCUGGAACCAAUGGCGCUGACGGAUUUUGAGUUUGACGCACGGAUUUCGAGAAAAUACAAAAAUACAUGUUUUAUAUGUAUUUAUGUGUGUGUUUCCUUCUAUUGGAAGAAGGUUGGAUUUUGUCGUGAAUCCGUGGUCGAUCGAGAUGAAACGAAAUCGCAGCUUUGUUGUCUUCGUCGUGCUGAUCGCACUGGUGCGAACCGUUCGCGAAUCUGACGGACGGAUCUGCGGAGAUGCCGUUGAUCGAGAAAGGUCGGUAGUGGCAAAACGGUAUUUUCGCAAAAGUCGCGAUAUUUUAUGUACCGUUUCGCGUAGGAUCGCACGUGGAGGGGGUUCAUGCGUUUUAGUCGUACUGUGAGGGACUCGGAUUGUAAUUUUGAUGUUUGGGGGACCUUUUUGCAUGUUGCACUUAUUUUAUAGCUCUUUAGGGUUUGGAGCCACUCAACCCUAACCUACUUGCCUAGCCCCCUAGCCGCCUCCUACCUCUUCCUGCCACUUGCUGCGCGUGCCCUGGCAGCCGCCGAUCGAGCCCCGGCAGGCCAACCACGCGGCAGCCACCACUCUCCAUCUUCUUCCUCUCUUUCUCUCUUCCUCUCUCCUCCGGUUGUGUGGAGGCCCGAGACUGCUGCCACUUCGGACUCCCUCCGUGUCGUCCCGUGCUCCGGCGACCUUCCCGCCGACCGCCGCCGUCGCCUGCGCCGCCGCUGCCGCCCCGCGGCCACAUCUGCCAGCCCAGACCGAGCCCUGGCCGUGACCCACUCGUGACCUCCUCCUGCACCGCCGCCUCCUGGAAACCUCCGGCCGAAACCUCCGUGCCGGGCGCCCCUUCCCGCCGUCGCCGCCGCCCGGUGCGCGCCUUCGCCCCCUCGGCCAGCCGCGGCCGCCCAGCCCGAGCCAGGCCGAUCUUGUUUGCGACCACUCCCCGCCGCUGCCGCUCGAGGCCGCCUCCUCCUCCUCUCUCCGGCCUCUGGGACCCGCAGUCGUCGUUCCCGACCUUCUCCCGCGGCCGUGCCGCAGCUUCCUUGGAGUCCGUGCCCUAGCUCUUGCGGGCCGAGCUUACUCCGCCGCUGCACUGCGCUUCUCGUCGCCAACCGAGGUGAGCACGAGUUCCUCACCUCCCCCUCACCCGACUAAGGGCCCGCGCGCGCGCCGUGCCGUCGAGGCCGGCCGGAGCAAGGUUGCUCUCCAGGCCCGAAAUAGGCUUAUUUGAGUGGUUUCUUGUUCUGGCUUCCGAGCUCCCCGAUCUCUACGAAGGGAGCACGAUGAUCCUGGCAAGUUGCUGAUCAUCGUGCUCACCUUAGUUUUCUGUCGGGAGACUCCGUUCUGCUGUUUUGGCGGUGUCGACCCCGUCGAGCCUGUUUGGCUGCUGUUUUGAGUUUGCGCACACUUAUCCGGCGAUCCGAGGCUAUUCCAUGCCUCCGGAGGUGAGACAGUGACCGCUGGUCAGUGCUGAUCACAAUGCUCACCUUCCCUUGGAUCAGAAGUGUCCGGUUAGUUCUGUCGGCGCGAUCUUCCCUGACUGGCGCGUAUUUCGCUGGCCUUCGGGUUGCUCCCGCGCUUCCCACAGCGAGCCGCUGUGCUCGGAUCGUGAGCACGGACUCCGUACGUCGAGACCUGUCAUACGUGUCUCUGCAGACUUCGAAAGUCCUUGGUUUGCGUGAACGAGCCGCUUGAUCGCUCAAAUUACAUAAAAUGAUGAAUUUUAUGUAAUUAGAGGGUCUUUUAUGCAUUUGUGCUUUUGCGUGGCUACUGUGGCAGUGUGUGGGAGUUUGUAAUGACCGCUGGACUGAUUGUCCAUGGUCCGUUAACUUUCACGAAAAUCGGUAGGUCGAUUUCGCGGUGCGUUUUUCGGCGAAAUUCGCCGAAAGAAGCGUUUCGGUUCGGAAUUCUUUCCGAUGGUGUUUGGUGCUUUAGUGUUUUGUUGCUGAGCCUUGUUGGCUGGUCACCAUCAUCAUUUUGUGGGUUCGAUGAUGAUGGGUGAGCGACGGUGGUUUCCGGUGUCGAAAUAGACACUUCCGGGAACCGAUUCGUACGUAUUCCGGCAUGAUCGUCACUAUGGUUGUGUUACUGUGUUCCAACUGCCAAGGCAUCCAAAUUAGAGUGCUUUGGGGCAGCGGGUGACUCGUGGCACGAGUCGGUGAGUUCGGGACACUUAGUGGGUCCCGACGGCGUCCCGGUGUGGUUUUCGGGACUUUCGGUGAGUUACGGUAAUCGGUAUUGGGAAACCGAUCUUCAUGAAUUGUUUGUGGGGUUGUGGAUACUGUGAUUAUUAGUUGUGGGUUAGAUACUAACCCAGUGGACCCUCUAUAGGUCCUGUCGACAUUCUUUUGCAGUCAGGAGAUAGACGCGACAUCCUUACAGGUGGGUACUUCGAUCUGACGUCGGUACAGUGGUGCACGCUUGGUGAUGGUUUCUUACCCUUACUCUUCUGUUGUUACUAUCGCAUAAUAUAUUGAGCCUUGCACCCUUGUUUAUUCGUUAUACUCUACUCGUUGUUUGCAUACUUAGUAUCCUGAGUAGGAGUAGAGUAGUUCUAUCUUCAUGCGUAUCUGUUGACCUAGUUGGUUGGUUGUUGCAUUCAGUACCUGUUGACCUAGUUGGUCUGUUGUUGCGUUUAGUAUCUGUUGACCUAGUUGGUCGGUUAUUGCAUUCCGUAUCUGUUGACCUGGUUGGUCGGUUCUCGUACUUCGUUUCGGUGACCUGAUUGGUCGGUUCUCGUACAUCGUUCGAUGACCCUUGAGGUCGGUAUACCCUAAGGGGUGGGAUUGUCGGUUAGCACCGACGGAUGAUUAUAGUUUACACAGUUCCACUAUUUGGCAUAUUUGUGACCUAGUCAGUCAGCUUCGUGAAUCCUGUCGUUUGAUGACCUAUGAGGUCGGUGUACCCUGAGGGGUUGGAUUGUCGGCUAGUGGCCGACGGUAAUUCGGGAUUCUAUUGAUAUACUCUGGUGACCUAUUCGUUAGUUCGUCGUGCAUAUGUGUUAGUUGACUUUAGUAGUCAGUGUUUGUAUACCUUGGUAGGAUGUUGAGUUGUUCCCUUUUAGUUGACCUGAGUAGUCGUUUCUUGUGCUUCUAUAUAGUUUGAUGACCUAUUGGUCGGUUUGCCCCGAGGGGCGGUGAUUGUCGGCUGGUUGCCCACAUUUGGCUAUUGAUCAUAUCCAUAUUGAUCACCACAGCUCGAGUGCAUUUCACGUACACCAGCGGGUUGAUCCCCCGCAGGAGGGUGUUCUUUUCCGGAAAAGUGGUCGUACAUCCGACCCGUGAGCCCAGCGGUGUUCUCUUUGUGCUAGGGUUACAUACCAGGUGCGAGCAGGUAGUGGCUUUUGCCUGAGGUCCUUAGACCGACACGGCGGUUUAGAUUGGGUACUUUUGGACUACUUGUCCGGUUGACGCAUAUAACUAUAGUAGCAGUGGUCACUUGUAUAUCUUCAGUUCUUUCGUUACAUUGUUUUGUUACUAUAGUCUUGUUACAUGUAUACAUUUAGUUGUUCAUUACAGUAGCGGUAGUUGUACUUUCUUUCAUAUAUAUGUCUCUUUCAUUCAUUAUUAUUGCUACUGUAUUUUCUACUGACCCGUACUAUUGUUUAGCUCUUCCUGAUCCGAUGAGUACUCCUCGCCUUCAUCGGCUUGCUGUACCCACUGGGAUGGGAGAUAUGUUUACAUGUUCUCACCUCCCCCACCAUUUUUCAGGUAUUGCAGGCGAUGAGUUUUGGGACGAGACGUGAGGUACGUUCGUAGCGGUCGAUAGAGCUUCCGACCCAGGUUAUCGAUUUAGUUUUUAUCCUUACUAUUCUGUUGUUAUAGCCUAGUUAGUUUAUAUGGUUCAGUUAGAUGAUCAUACUUGAUGUUUGAACGUUGUGAGCUGGUUGAAUUUGUGGAUUUGUGGAUUUGUGGAUUUGAUUUAUGGAUCUUCAGUUUUGGGAUGUUUGUAUACUUUGUGGUUCUCGGAUUUGUAUUUAUGGAUUUACGCAUCGUGGUUUUCUACCCCUCGAGGUAGUCGGUUUUCAAAAUAGAGUUUCCGUGUGGGAAACAGUUUUCAAAAGGUUUUCAAAUGGUUUUUCAUGAUGAAUGAAUUAGAGUUCAAAAAUAAAAGCUUCUGUGUGGGGAGCACUUUUAAAUAGAAUGGUUGUUGUAUUGUGCAUUGCAUCAUUCACCGCCUAAGGAGUGCUUAGAGGCAUGCAUCAUUCUAAGGAUUGUUAGCUGUAUGGAAAUACAUAUCAUGCUUUGGUUGUUGAUUGGUAAAUGUAGGUUGUGAUUGAGAUCCUGUUGUAUCCGUUGGUACGCCGUGCAAAUACAAAGGAGACUCUGCCCGAGUGGACAGAGGAACUUUGUAUUUGUGGCGGGUCUGUACGUCACGUGGGCCAGGUUGAAAAAAAAAAAAAAUGGCACGUUUUCCGCAACUCUGAGUUUUAAAAAUGGUAAUGGCUUUUAAAAUCGGCCCCGGGGCGUGACAGCUGCGUACACCCGUGGUCAGGGAUCUCCCGGUGGAGAGGAACAUGCCGCAUACACCUGCAACCGAGAUCCCCGAUAGGGAGAGAAACAUGCCACAUAUACCCUAGCGCUUAAGAUUCUUCCGGUAGGAGAGGAACAUGCCACAUGCACCCGCGACCAAGAAUCUUGCUCAAUCACAAUCCUCGAAGUUCUUCCGGUGGGAGAGGAACAUGCCACAUGCACCCGCGACCGAGAACUAUCGAGCUCAUAUACUGCACUAGCAGCCGCUGCACUCGCAGCCGGGAUUCCGGAAUCCACUUUCAUAACACUAGGGUUGGUCUCACCCUAUAUUAUCGACCUAUCUAGGUCCAACAUCAUUUCCAUUCUAGGUCCAACUGACUCUAGGUUUAAUGUCUAUAUCACAUAACCUAUGUUUACUUAACUCUAGAUUCAAUUCUCAACAUAUAUUUUUUAACACUAGGUUCAAUGCCACUCAUGAUUCACCCUAGGUUCACGACACUAGGUUUAAUGUCCAAUCUAUGUUUCAUAACACUAGGUUCAUAUGUUGUUCUCAUCCCUCCUAGGUUCACGACACUAGGUUUAAUGCUACUCGAUCUACUUGACAUCCUAAUUGUCCACAUCGAGUUUUAUAGUUACAUAUUCUCAUUUCCAAUGUCGAAUUCUCUAAAUAACCUAGAGUUAUCGACCAAGUUACAUGCAUAUAUAAUCUAACACAUGCUCUCAAUGCCAAUAUGCAUCUUAUCUAAUAUGAUCUACAACAUGUUAACAUUCAUUUAUAUGCUCUAGCAUGUUUUACUACAUAUGAGCAUGCAUCUAGCAAUUAGCAUAUAUUUUCAAUGCAUCAAUAUGCAAUUAUCAACUAUCAUCUAGUAUGAUUCACAUGAUGCUACCAUGCAUAUAUGUUCUCCAUCUAGCACUUAAAUUCACAUGCAUAAUUCUCUAAACCUAGCAAUUAGGUUUACUUGCAUACAUUUCUAUCUAGCAUAAUCACAAUGCCAUCAUGCCCAUACAUAUGCAUCAACAAGGAUUCAUACUCCACUUUGACAUGGAGGCGACCUAGUCGCUUCAGUAAGCACAACCCACCUAUUAUCGCGUUCCGAUUGCUUGUAGUCACUUGCAAUCGGCCUCCCGCGGCACACGCCGCCCGGUUCGGCCCGAUCUCACGCUUGACCACCGAACGACCACCAAUCCGCAAUCCGAAAAUUCAAGGUCUAUAACUUGGUGCCACGACGCUUCGGAUCCGUUCUCGUGAUUUUUUGGACGUCGCCUCGACCCUCCAGGCAGAAACGAAGCCAAAUCAUCUGUUUCUUCAAUAUCUUCGCGUAGGCUAGACGGAUCGCCGAACGGACUUCGCCAACGUGUCAGAAUAUCUGGCAAUUAGGUUUACAUUGAUUCAAUUUAGAUCAAACCCAUCUAUAUAUCAAAACCACACUUUGGAGUCCUAGGUGCCACAAUUGCAAAAUCCAGCAUUUAGUCUCUAGAUUCAUGCAUUAUCCAACUAUUUAGCAUCUUAGGAGUCAUCUAAAAUCAAUUCUAGAGUUUAUAAAUCAAACCCUAGCUACUUGCCAUUAAAGAGCAUCAAGCUUCCCUCUAGAAGCUUGCUAUUGGGCCAAGAAAGAAGAUGAAGAGGAAGAAAAUCCACCUUCUUGACUCCUUCUCCACCAUCUUCUUCUCCUUGCUCCACUUCUAGAGAGAGAGAGAAGAGAAAUCUAGAGAGAAGGAGGAGCUCCUCUCUCUAGCUCAUGUGUGUGUGUGUGCGCAUUUGGGUUGAGAAAGGAAGAAGAAGGGUUAAAAGCCUUUCUUCUAGAAGCAACUCCACCACUUUACAAGAUUGCCCUUGCUCAAACUAGGCAUUUUCGGGUCUCGGGGACCGGUCCUUGGCUUGAGGGACCGGACCCCGUAGGUUCAGAAUUUCAGCAUCCUCCAGACUUAGCCAAAUUUUCAACAUUUUCAGCUUUUGUCUCCGUUUUCGCUCGUUUUCGCUCCGUGGGUCUCCGAUUCAUUUCAAAUUGCACCGAGACUCUCAAAACAUGUUUUCGAGCGUAUUUACAUCCUCUUUUCAUCCACGCUUAUGACAGAUUUAGUCCAUAGUCCAACUUAGCCUUUCGGGUUCCGUUUUUGCGCCCAACGCGCACGGAAAAUGCCCGAAUGCUCCCGAACUUCACCGGAACCAUUUUAAUGGGUUUCCAAACCAACAUACACCGUAACUUCAUAAUUAUAGAAGUUCGGUAUCUUACACUACUCCUCUUAUGCUUCUCUUUUUCUCCCUCUUUCUCUCUCACUUAACCCUAUGUUCACCUAGGGUUAGUCUCUCUAGCGUAUUAAUGUCUUCGUGGAUCCGCCGCUUGCCAGGAGGUUGCUCCUUCCCUCUACCAUACGCUUAUAUCUACUGCAAAUAGGGGCAUUUAAUGCCACCGCGUAUCUGCCGCUCUCCCGGAGAUGGUUUUCUUUCUCGGUCGUACGCUUUUAUCUACCACAAAUUGAGGCAUUUAAUGCCCUCGUGGAACCCCACUUGCCCGAAGAUGGUUCCCUUCCUUGGUCGUACACCUGUAUCUACCACAAAUUUGGGCAUUUAAUGCCCCUUUCGAAUCCCCCCACUCUUCUGGAGAUCGCUCGCUCUCUCAAGUUGGUUGGGGAUCGUGCUAAUCUGCACUGUACCUCCCCAUCUGCUGUGGAUCUAGCCAUUUAGUGCCGCCGUCGAGCUCCGGCAUGAGCAAUUAAUUUCGCCGCAGAGGAGUCAACUCCGGCGUCCUCGAUUCCAGCUCUUUUCCAUUUCUUUCUAUCUCUGGUGUCGUUUCGCUGUUAUUUCAGAACGGGGCGCUGCUCGAUGCCGAUGAGGGACUACUCAAUGCCAACGCCCUCCCCCUUCUCUUCUCCCUAUUCUUUUGGUUUGUUUCGAUGCUGGUAUGUAUAUAUAACAUUGGUAGAUAAGGUUCCAUGCCCAAUUUCUUUCAAGCUUGCAGCUCUUACUUGUCAACUCUGUUAUUAUUCGUAGUAUUGUUGCCUGUAAAGAGGAGGUCCGGUUCUUCGGAAGUUCCUUUGAUUACUUCCUAUUCUGAUGUUGUCUGUCUAUGUACAAGUCUAGAUUUCUUAAUGCUUGGGUGCUUCGAUGUUUGGUCGUGGUUUUGCAUGCGAUUCCUCCUGCUCUGCCUAUUGUCAUUUGAUUUUUUUUGCCCUAAAUUUUGUAUUUCUUUGUUUUUUUUCCUUUGGUUUUGCUUGGACUUUGACAUAUUCUUUCUCUUAUAUUUAUUUUAUUUUCCUUUUUAGCUUCACUUUCUAUAAUAGACUAUUUUUCUUGGACUUCUUUCCUUUUUUUAAAAAAAAUGCGAUAUUUCAAGUUCAAGUUCUACAGCUCAAUUUUCUUAUUAUAGUAUUUACUUUUUUUUUAGUUUACCUCUUUCUCACUAUUGCUUUCUCCAUCCUCUGAAGCGGGGCAAUGAUGAUAGGGGCAAUACUCUGAACUUAUCUUCUCUGCUGAAUUUGCUUCCCAGAUGCUGCAUUCUAUACUAAAUUUAUCCGCAAUGGCACGGCAUGUUGAAUGGCCUCAGGGUAAUCACUGCAACCUGCAGCUAUUACUGCAGAGUUUCGAUCCAUACAAUGUUCAUCAUACCCCUUUGCUUUGGGGGAGGGGAGGGGGUUGCAUUAUGUUUUUCCAUGUUUUUAAUAUCUGCUUGCUUUUUUUUUUGCAUACUAUUUUUUUCUUAAAUUUAACAAUCGAAUAGCUUCAUCAACUACUUUUAUCGACUUUUCUUAUUUCUUAAAAUUUUCUCUUGGAUUUCCGUACUAUUAGUGUAGGCAUGGAAGUGAUCGACGUUUCAUUUAAGCACUUAUUGAUUGAAAUUACGUAGAAAUUAUCUAUGCCGGUGCCGAAAUAUGGUCUACCGUGGACACAUCUAGCGAGCUGAGUGCUUACGUCGAUGUCGAGGUUUAGCGUGGCGACUUUGUGACAGAAACCAUUCAUUCUUGGGGUUGUCCGGCCUGCGUUGCAAGUCCAUCCGAAGAGGAUGCGGCCCAUAAUAACAUCAACACUUUACGUGACGAUCUUGGCUUCAACAUUCGAGAUACAAAUAAUAUAUAAAUAACGAUUUUGCUAUGUCUUUGGAUCUGAACUAAUCUUUAAUAUCAAAAAUAUUUAUGCAAAUAUUUUUUUCUUAUGUUGUUUAAUAUUUAUUAUUGUGUGCUUACUGUAAAUCUUCCUAUCCGCCGUGAAGUGCGGGUCCUUAACUAGUGUGAAAUUAAAGUUGUAUUUUAAUUAGAUCUAAUGCCAUUUUGUUCUUUGAUUAUUAGUAUAUGAUGAUUUAUCUCUAUUCUCUGAUUAUUAGCACAGGAUGAUUUAUCUUUAUUUUUCAUUAUUAUAUAGUUAAAUUAAUUUUUUAAAAAAACUAUAUGAUUUGGGAGGAAGCACGAAUCUGAGCCUUACAUUAUGUUUUUCCAUAUUUUUGAUAUACUUGCUUUUUUUUUGCAUAUUUUUCUUUCUUAAAUUUAACAAUAUGAAUAGCUUCACCAGCUACUUUUAUCGACUUUUCUUAUUUCUUAAAAUUUUCUCUUGGGUUUCCAUGCUAUUAGUGCAAGCAUGGAAAUGGUCGACAUUUCAUUUAAGUAUUUGCCGCUUAAAAUUACGUAGAAAUUAUCUAUACUGAUGCCAAAAUAUGGUCUUACCGUGAACACAUUGGGCAAGCUGAGUGCUUACUUUGAUAUUGAGGUUUAGCGCGGCGACUCUGUGACAGAAACCAUUUAUUUUUGGGACUCUCCGAAGAGGAUGCGGUCCGUAAUAGCAUCAACACUCUACGUGACGAUUUGGCUUCAACAUUCGAGACACAAAUAAUAUAUAAAUAACGAUUUUGUUAUGCAUUUGGACCUGAACUAAUCUUUAAUAUCAAAAACAUUUAUGCAAAUAUUAUUUUCUUCUAUCAUUUAAUAUUUAUUAUUGUGUAUUUACUGUAAAUCUUCCUUUCUACCGCGAAGCGUGGGUCCUUAAUUAGUGUAAAAUUAAGUUGUAUUUUAGAUCUAAUGCCACAUUUAUUCUUUAAUUAUUAGCACAUGAUAAUUUAUCUCUAUUCUCUGAUUAUUAGCACAAAUAUUAGUAAUUUUUUUAAUCCUCAUUUGAAUCUUCUUCAGUUUCAGAUUAUCGAUAGAGAUCUCCUUUUAAACUUACAUCAUGCUAAUCAAGUUGGAUUUGUUAUUGUGGUGGUGUGUGUAAUGUUCGUUUUGCGAUUAUGUGAAAGGGAUUGGACAUUAAAUAAAGAACCAUCUAAACUGAGGGAUUUAUAUAGAAAAGGCUCAUAUGCGUAGUAUAUUAUGCGGAGGAAGAAGAAACUGCUUGGAUUAUGUUCGAAUGGGAUCUGAGACCUUUUUAACACUUGCUACUAUAAUGAGGGACGGGGUUAUUAAGAGAUACAAUACAUAUGACAAUUGAAGAGCAAUUAGCCCUAUUUUUACAUACUGUAGGUCACACUACUAAGAAUAGGGUAUUAAAAAUUAAGUUUAUUCGUUUAGGAGAGACAGUGAGCCGCUAUUUUAAUUUAGUACUUCGAGUUAUAUGUGGCAUCAAUAACCAACUUAGUCAACAGGUGAGUUCUACAACUCAUCCAGAAAUUACAAUAAAUCCAUAAUAUUUUCCUUAUUUUAAGAUAAACAAGUAGAAUAAUACAGAAAAAUACUAAUAAAAAUUAUUUUGUUAAAAAUUAUAAUUGACUUCUAAUACUAUCUUACGAUUGUGUCGGUUUAUUGGAUAGUAUCCAUAACCCAGCAAAAGUUCUAACUAAUAUACCUGCUCGAUUUUGUGGUCGAAAGGGGUUGACACAAAAUGUGUUAGCAGCAGUCACCGCAUACUGUAAAUUUACUGAUGGGAAGGAUCUGCAAAUGAUUAUGCAGUACUUAAAGACGCCCUUUUCUUGCCUCCUCCAUCAAAAUUACGUGUAAUUGAAGGUAAAAUACAAGUAACCAUUGUAUCAAAUUUUAUAAAUAAAAUAAUUGUUACUCUACAUAUAAUUGUCCAAAUGCAAGAAAAUAUUAUUUGGUUGAUGCCAGCUAUACUACGUUGCAUGAUUUUAUUUCUCCAUGAAAUAUUUUCUCUGUGAAAUAUUAUUUUAAGUAAGAAGAAAAUCAAAAAACUUUUUUCGGGUAAAAAGCCUAAAAAGAAUUUAUGGUGUUUUGAUGUGAAAUUCAAUAUAUAUUAUAAUUUUACGAUCUAAAAUGUUAAUCUAUCAGAAUUUAUCAUAUAUGUAUUAAUUGAAGAAUAAAGGGCUUAAAAAUUUUUGCGAAGCAACGUGCUCCUCAUCGCUCUAUGCCCCACUCAACCUCCAACGUAUGCUUUCGACGUUGUAGCCAGUAGGUGCCUCAAUAAGUAGCAUGGUAUACCUUCGUAUUCCAUUGUCGUAUUAAUGUUAUUUUUUUGAUUCGUCGCUAACUGGGACUGUUGGGCGCCUCCAUGAGGCCCAGGUUCAGCAUUGCUCUGACAAUGCCUUCAGCUUCAUCGUGGAGAGGUAUUCGCUUCUGUGUAGAGUAAGGGUUCUAUUUUAUCUUUUACUCAUAUCUUAAAUUUUUUAUGAAAUUAUGCUUCUUUUGUCAAAUAAAUCUAUUUGACUUUUGAAUUUGUGGAUUUAUAUUUACUGCUAACUAAAGGGAAAAAAAUAGCUGUUAGGCUUUUUUUAUUUAUUUUAUUUCAUGCUCUAAGUUACAGCAGAAAUCCUUUGAGCACGUUAACAGCCCUGUCGUAUGCACGAGAACGCACCCCGCACAUGUGAAGCGUAAAUCAAUCAACAAUACAAAUCACAUAGAGUGUAUGUAUGAAAAACAUGUGUCAUGGUCUAUAAACAACUAUACAACUGCAGCUACAACUUUACAUAUAACUAUAACACAAUUCAAAACUAACAUAUACAAGAGUAGGGCUACGAGUCUAGCUAUGGUGCUUGUAAACGCACCAAGCACUUGGUGCUUGUAAAUUUUUUACCGUUAGAUCUACGCCUUUGAUCAUUUUCACCCGUUAGAUUAUAUUAUUCAACCAACCACGCACUCAACCCUAGAGGGCCCACAUCAUCCUAACCACACAUUCCUUAAUCCAAUGGCCAAAAACUUACAAGCACCAAUGACUUGGUACUUUUAAAAGCAUAGGAGCUCAAUUCGUAGGGCUAAUAUACUCUUAUAAGUAUAGAGCCCUUAGUACUAAUAAGUUGUUUUCGAUAUUGGGGUUUUCGAAUCGACGAUCCAUACCGUUAAACAUGAUCUAGAGUAUUUGAAACUUCUAUAAAAAAAAUUUCAUAAUUUUUAAAAAUCAUUAUAAAGUCUAUCAAAUGGGUAUAAAAUGAACGGUUAAAAUCGAACUAUAUCCUAAAAAUAGAUGACUGGAUACUUCAAUUUAAGAUCGGAGUUAUUGAUCUUUAUUUAGGUAGUGAAUAGAAUUUUCUGUCAAAAAUUCAACCUAUUCUGAUUCUUUUUCACCGUUAAACUACAAGUAUCUCAUACCGGCCGUUAAAAAUUGCCAAUUUUGUGAGCUUUUGAUCGUAAGGUAAAUGAUAUCAAAAAAUUAUAAAAUUUGAUUUCUAGAAGUUUUAAAUGCUCUAGAUAAAUUAAUAUUUAACUGUGACACCCCAAUAGUCCCACAAUAGUCCCACAUCGGAUGGGAAUGGGGUUGUCAUUGGGUUUAUAAGAGACUUAGACACUAGUAAUAAUAACUGGGCUUAAGCAUUUUGGGCGGAAACCUUUAUCAAAAGAAUUUUCUGUGGAUUUAUGUUUAAAUAUUAAAUGCAAAUCUGUGAUGUGAAUGGUGAAUAUAUGAAUGUAUGAAUGUAUAGUUAUUUCUAUAUUCAUUUAGUUGUGGUUGUAUCCUGUUUGUACUGUUGUACUUGUGCGACGCCGUGCAAAUACAGGGGAGACUCUGUCCGUGUGAACAGUGGAAUCCCUGUAUUUGUGGCAGAUCUGGCAUACUCUGGGGUCAGGUUUUUUAAAAAAAAAAAAAAAAUAGACGCUUUUUCCGCUGUGUUCAAACAAAAAGGGACCCCGGGGCAUGACAGAUUAAAGAAUCUAUCACGCCCCGGGGUCCCUUUUGAGUUUAAGAGAAAGCGGAAAAGCGUCUGAAUUUUUUUAAAAAAAAUCUGACCCCAGAGUAUGCCAGAUCAGCCACAAAUACAGAAAAUCCACUGUUCACACGGACAGAGUCUCCCCUGUAUUUGCACGGCGUCGCACAAGUACAAGAAGUCACCCAGGCACAACCACAACAAAUGAACAUACAAAUAACCAACCGUUAUAUAUAUUCAUAUACCAUUCACCACAGAUUCAUACUCAUGCAUUCAACAUUUAAACAUAAAUCCACACCUAUCAGUUAAAAUGUUUCCAACCACAGAAACAAGUUUUGAAAUACUAAGAUACAAAAUCACAGAAAACCUUUUGAAAGCUGUUCCCUACACGGGAACUUUUAUCUUUUAAAAACGCUACCACGAGGGGUAGAAAAUCUUUUAUUUUACAAAAUCCAGAAAUCCUUUUAUUUUAACGUAAUGAAAUACUGAACCACAUAAACCAACUAAACUAUACAUCAACAGAAAUAAAAUGGGUAAUAACUAAACCGAAAUAACCUGGGCCGGAAGCUCUAUCGACCGCUAUGUAUCUCACGUCUCGUCUCAACCCUUACCGCCCACAAUAUCUAAAAAAUAGUGGGGGAUGUGAGAAAAUGUAAACAUGUUUCCCCUCCCAGUGGGUACCGCAAGCCGAAGAAGGCGAGGAGUACUCACUGGAUCAGGAAGAGCUAUACAACAACACGGGUCAGUGGAAAUAUAGUAGCAACAAUAAUAAACGAAAGAGAUAUGUAAGGAGCUGACAAGUAUAGAUGCAGGUAAAUAAAACAGUAGCUACAAUAAAUAGAUAAGGAUGUACUGAAAAUAAACACUACAGUUACUGUAUGCAUGCGUCAACUGACGAUAACCUCAAAAGUACCCAAUCUCGCUGCCCUAUUGGUCCGAAGACCUCAGGCCUAUGCCACACUUCUCAACCUGUACCUGACCCUCGCAAUGAAGCCCCUGGGUCAGAAGCAUAGUACCUGACCCUCGCAAUGAAGCCCCUGGGUCAGAAGCAUAUACCCUCGCAAUAAAGCCCCUGGGCUCACGGGUUGGCAAUCCAACCACUUUUCCGGAAAAGAACACCCUCUUGCGGUGGAUCAGACUGCUGGUGUUCGUGAAAUGCGUACCUGGAGUGGCGAUCAAUGUAGUAUGCUCAAAGAUCUUCCAUCAGCAACUAGCCGACAAUCCAGCCCCUCAGGGCACACCGACCGUAUAGGCCAUCAGCAACUAGUCGGCUACGUAUGUCAAGAUAGAACUGUAGCAACUCGACCGAACAGGUCAUAGAUAUCAAAAUAGGGGAAUCGCCCAACCAAAUCACAGAUAUAGUGAACAGAUAAGUCAACUCUACUCCUAAGCAUGAUAUCAACAUGGAACUAACUGAGUAGAGGAAUGCAGAUAUAAAAGCAGGUGCAAGGCUCAAUAUGAUAUCAACAUAGGGGAACCGCCCAACCAAAUCACAGAUAUAGUGAACAGAUAAGUCAACUCUACUCCUAAGCAUGAUAUCAACAUGGAACUAACUGAGUAGAGGAAUGCAGAUAUAAAAGCAGGUGCAAGGCUCAAUAUGUAUAUGCACACAGAUAAUAGUAAGAGGGCAAGGGUAGAAACCAUCAUCGAACGUGCACCACUGUACCGACGUCGGAUCGAAGUACCCACCUGUACGAAUGUCGCACCUGUCUCCUGACUGCGAAAGGAUGUCAACCUGAGCAGUAGAGCUAGGGUUGGUUGCCGGCGGCCGGACUGCAGGAGGCCCGGCCAGGGAAGGGUGCGGUAGGUCGGUGGGGUCCGGGGCACCAGCUGGUCGACAGCGGGAGGCGGCCGGUGGCGCGGCGGAGGAGAUCAACUCCACCUAGCUACUCUCGGGUUCAACAUCCACGGCGGCCACGCGAUGGUGGGAAAAGCUUGGGACGGCGACGACCCGUCGCCGGAGGUCGAGAGGAAGGCGGCGCGCACGGCCUAGGGCGGCGGCGGCGCACGGAGGCAGUGCGGGUCCAAGCUUGCAUGCCUGCAGGUCGACUCUAGAGGAUCCCCGGGUACCGAGCUCGAAUUCGCCCUAUAGUGAGUCGUAUUACAAUUCACUGGCCGNCGCGGGGACGGCGGCGGAGGGUCGCCGGGGGUUGAGGGAAGGCGGCGCGGCCGAUCUAGGGCUGCUUUACCUAGCGGGCCCUGAGCUCAAGUCCGCUCGGUCUGGGUUGACCCGAGUUGGCCAUGGCUUGCUCGGACGGCGCCGGCGGCGUGCGCAGGAGGCGGGGACGGCCGGUGACGGCACCGGAGGGGAAGCCUCGGCCAGAUAAUAUAGGCUCAGCCCAUGGGGUGGCUUCCCGAAGUCAAGAGGCCGUGGAGGGUGGAGAAGGUGGUGAUGGAGAUGAUGGAGGAGAGGGAGGUAGAGCUUUUCCGGCGGCCGGGGUUACUCGCCGGCGGCAGGGGUGCGCGCAUGGCAAGGGCAUAGAGGUGCUGAUGACGGUUAGGGUUAACUGGGGGUGCAAGUCGGCUAGAUCUAGGGUUUCAUGCUAAGAAAUCCUAGUGCAACAUUAUAUGCAACCUGCAACUUUGCAGAGAAGUCCCCCAAAGAUAAUUGUUAUCAUCUGAGUCCCUGACAGUGCAUAUGUUUUGCAUGUACGCACCUCCAUGCUCGAUCUCGCGUGCUUCGGUACAUAAAAUAUCGCAACUUUUCGCGGAUUUUCCGAAUUGCCACCUUCGACCUCUUAACGAAAACUUCGCAAUUACCAGAGAUCCGUCCGUCGGAUUUUCGAUCCGACGACACCAUUGCGUUCAGCACGUCGGGGGCAUCAAAACUACAAUCUUAUUUCGUCAGAUUUGGUCACGGAUUCGCGACGAAACCCAUCUGCUCUCUAAUUAAUCCAUAUAUCGCACAUAUACCAAUGUGUAAACCCAUUAAACCAACUUUCGCAUUAGAAAUUGACUUCCCUACCACUAGUAGGGACCCGAAACAUUCUACACCCUACUCCAGGUCACAAGCACGGAGCACGAGGAGCUUAAAAAAUGCAAGAACAGUCAAGAACGGAAGUCCUCUUUUCGGUAAAAUUCCUUUUUCCCGGAAACUGUGCAUCAGAUCUGGAAUCCGUCAGUGCCAUUGGUUCCAGAAUAGCUGAACCGAUCAAAAUGAGCUAUUGGAUCGCUAUGAACGGAGUCCGAUACGCGCCGAAAGCCAACUCUAUUACGUGGCUUCUUCGAAAAACCGGAGUUACUAUUCACUUUAAGUGAUUAGUUUUAAUUGCGUAACUUCUCCGUUGUAGCUCAUUUUCUCCUGAAACUUGACGAGUGCUUAUGUAAUUAAAUUACACACAUAAACAUCAUCAACAGAGAGUAUUUGCACUGUAAAAAUCUCAGUCCUUACAUUAUCCCCCCCUUAAAAGAAGUUUCAUCCUCGAAACUUGACCACAUACCCACCGAAAUCGGAUUCGGAUAUUACUUCCACCACUGUGGUAUCACCUUUGAGUAUUGGUCAAUUACAUUUCCAUGAAUCGGGACAGAUCAACUAUCGUUUCACAUGGACGGGACGAGGGGAAAAUAUACUAACCCAAAAACCAUGGACCAAAACUCACCGGGAUCAAUACUAUCCUAUAACCUGCGGACAAAAACAGUCCCGCGACUAGGAUUAUCAGAUCCCAAAUGACAAUUCUGAGAUAACACUUCAACACUUAGAAAUUCUAGGUCCACUCAACCUUGGUCCGCAUACCAGUAACCGACUCGACUGCGUCGAAGGUUCACGUAGAAGAGACACGAGUCAAAACUCUCGCCUUGGAGACCACAGUCUCCAACCAGUAACCACACAAACUGCCAAAACCUCCUUCAACGGAAAGUCACCUGCGACAAUCUAUAGUCCUAGGUCCAAGACUUCAAUUUCCACCUGACCAACAGGUCCAACUGACGAUACCAUUUGGGCUAGACAAUUUUGUCUCCUCAAACUUAACCAGUACCAACAGACCACUGAAAGCUCUUUGCAAGUCCAUCACUUGAUGCACAGGUCGCCAAUCACAAAAGCGAUACUAACCGUCGGCGAUGCUCAACAUUUGUCUUCACGAGACCCUGUCGCUGCCGUCCUACCAUGGACCCUAGCGAUCGAUGUUCCCAGCAACACCCGUUUACAUGUCUUAUUGAGACCGAGGCACACCUGUCACCAAUUUGACUGGACAAGCAUACCAUUUCAUGGUUUGCACGUUAAGCCAAGUCACAAAUCUUAUAUGCUAUCACAUACAGUGACAACCAAAGCCAACAACCAGGCUCAAGUCACUCAACAACUGAUUUCGAACCUCUCGACAAACAAACCGAGACUAUUAAAUAACCAAACCUUUUAGUUGUAACAAGUACAACUAAAGAACUACGAACACCCAGACUCGAACUAAAGUCAAAACCCUCGGUAAUGAUGAUAAAUCGACUGCGCAAAACCUGCCAAGGAAUAAUCCAAGGCUUGCCACAUGGUCAGAGAUGACAGAUUAAGAUGGUAUCGGAGCCAAUUACCAGCUGGAAGUGUGAGAUGAGUCUCGGCUGAGCCAGGGUCUGGAUGACGGGCUAGCGAGACGAGUCUCACAUCGCCUGGUACUUGUGAGUCUGAGCCUGAUGAGGACGUCAGGGCUUAAAGGAGGGGAGAUUGUGAGACCCCAGAUAGUCCUAUAUAUAAGAUAUAAUAGGGCUAAAACUCUUAACCCGGCUUAAGCAUUUUGGGUGGUGGCUAGACCCAAGAGGUUAAGAGAGUUAAGCGUGCUAGGACGGGAGUAGUCCUAGGAUGGGUGACCCCCUGGGAAGUUGGGGCGUUACAUUUACGGUAUGGAUCGUCGAUUCGAAAGCUCUAUCAUCGAAAACAACUUAUGAGUACGAAGACGAUCAUACUCAUAAGAGUAUAGUAGCCGAACUCUCUAUACAAUAUCAUCCACCUCUUUGAGCCCAAUAUUUGUAGCUAGCUAAACUACCAAAAUGUAAUCCUCCACUAACACUCAUCCAAUAUAGGAGAUGCUAUCUAGUCUGCGAUCUCUUUACCUCGAUCACUAGCUAGAAUAUGGAUUGAAAAUUUAAAUAUAUAAUUUUUUAAAAUUAUUCUAUGUACAGUUGCUCUAGCAAACAACUUGUGAAGAACUUCAAUUUCACCCAAUUUUUAUUAAACUAAAUUAGUUGAUUAUAAUUUUAAAUUUGUAUUAAAAACUUUGAUAUUCAUAUUUAAAAAAAUAUUCCGAAAACUAGUAAGAAAACGUUUAGAGGCAAAAAUGUAAGAUCUAACUUUAAUCCUUUCGUAAAUCGAACUAUUAAUUCUACUUAAAAAUUUAAAGUUUUAGAAUUUGAAAACUUUGAUGUUCCUACGAAAAAAAAAAGAAUUAUGAAAAACAAUAAGAACAAGUUUAGAAGCAAAAAUAUAAGAUGUACUUUAAUCUCUUUGUAUAUCAAACUAUUUAAUUUUAUUUAAAUCUUUAGGCUUCGUUUGGUUCGGGAUUAAGUAAGAACUAGUUAUUCCGGUAAUAGAAAUAAGUUCAGGUGUAAGCUUGGAAUAGAUCAAUUUUGUGUCUGGAUAAAAAUUGAGUUGUUCCCGAGAAUAAGAAAAAUGGCGUUUGGAUAGAUAAGGUGGAAUAAAAAAAAUAGUGGGUAGCUAUAAAUAGAAAAUAAUAAUAUUGCCCCUUAUAUUUGAAUUUAAAUUUUUAAAUUUUAUAUUUAAAAUUUUAAAUUUAAAUAUAUAACUUUAAAAAAAAAUUUAAAAUAAAAUUUUAAAUUUUAAAUAUCAAAUUCAAAAAUUUAAAGUUCUAAAUUUUAAAUUUAAGAUUAAAUUCAAAUUUAAAAAUAUCAAAAUUUAAAUUUAAAAAAUUAAAAAUAAUAAUUUAUAAUUUAUAAUUUAUAAUUAUAAAAAUUAAUUAAGAUUACAAAUUCUUAAAUUUAAAAAAUUUAAAAUUUAAAAUUUAAAUUUAAAUAAAUGGAUUGAGAUAAUUAAUCCCACUCAAUUCGGGGGAGGGGGUUUGUUAACCCACCCCUAACGGGUUAUCCCGUGAUAACCCGUUAGGGGUGGGGUUAACAAACCCACCACAUUGGAAAUGGUGUUUGGGAUUAAGGGGGAUAAUCCCUUAUCCCUCCUUCUAACCCCAAUCCAAUACCACCUUUUAAAUUUUUAAAUAUUGGUAAAAAAAAAUAUAAGAAAAAAGUUAGAAAUUAUAUACACAGCAUUUGGUUUAGGGUUGGGGGGAUAAGGGGUUACCCUCCUUAUCCCCAAGCACUUUUUUUGAGCUAACGCCACCCUCCAUGGAAUAAGGGUGGGAUUAGCUAAUCCUACCCCUAUAUAAAUAUUUAAAUUUAAAAAUUAAAAAUUUAUAAUUUAUAAUUUUAAAAUUAAUAUUUAUACUUUUAAAAUUUAAAUUAUUAUUUUUAAUUAUUUAAAUUUUAAAUUUGAUAUUUUAUAUUUGUAAAUUUAGAUUUUAUUUAAAAUUUAAAAUUUAUAAUUCUAAAUUUUUAAAUUUGAGAUUUAAAAAUUUAGAUUUUAAUUUUGAAUUUUUCCAUUUUAAAAGUUAUCUAUUUAAAUUUAAAAUUUUAAAUAUAAAAUAAAAAAUUAAAUUUAAAUAUAAUAAUUGGGGCAAUAUCAUUAUUUUCUAUUUAUAACUACUCACUAUUUUUCUCAUUCCAUCUUACUAUUCAAACGCUAUUUUUCUUAUUCCUGCGAACAACUCAGUUUUUUCAUCCAAAUACAAAAUUGGUCUAUUCUAGGUGUACACCUAAACUUAUACUUAUCCAUUGAAUAACUAAUUAUUACUUAACCUCGAACCAAACAAAUUAAAGUUUCUUGAAAUGAAUUCUUUUUUAAUUAAUAGAAAAUGAUAUAAUAAUUAUUAUAAUUUUGUAGGACAGACAAAAGGUGGGAUGAGAUAAAAUCACCAAACUUAUUUUUUUUAUAAUAAUAAGAAUAAAUAAUAGAACAAAUGGUAUAAUUAUAAUUAUAUAGAACUUAGCGACAAAUAGGGGGACAAAAGAAAAUCGCCAAAUUUAUUACUUAUAAUAGUAAGAAAUAGUAUCCAACAUUCCACAGCACCCCAAAAAGUUGCCAAUAAUUUGUUUAUAGGCUGCGAGGAUCGCCAUAAGAAUGGUUAAACCCGCCAUGCCUUAUUGCAUUCCAUGGCAUCCAAAAAAUCUGCCAACAUAGAAUCCAAACCUUCACUAUAGCGAAGCCCAACAUCAUAGCCUCCUCAAAAAUAAAAAUUUUGAUUUAAGUAAAACCAGGCUGCAAGAAGUGCUACGAGAAGUGCCAAACCUGCCACGCCUUAGUGUGAAAUCCAAACCUUCACUAUAGAGAAGCCCAACAUCAUUGCCUCCACAAACCUUUAAAAUUUAAUUUAUUUAAUUAAAAUCUGGAAAAAAAUAGAUAAAAGCAGAUCUUCAAGCAAAGGAACGGGCUGCAUACUAUCAAGUGACACACCUAGUUAAAUUUUAAAUUAAACUGAUCCUAAGAUUAAAAAUAAAAGGAAGAAGGUUGUGGUAUCCAAACCUGCACUAUAGAGAAGCCCAACAUCACAACCUCACUAAUCUCUUUUCGAAAUAGACCAGUGCAUAGCUUUAAUGUACAAAAUAUAAACUAAAAACAAAAGAGAGAAGUGCGGAAAAUUAAAAAUAAAGACCAAUGCACAAAUUUAAGUCCAAAGAGACCAUAGCUUUAAGUACAAAAAAGACCAAGGCACAAAGAGAACAUAGCUUUAAGUACAAAUUUAAGUCCAACUGACGAAUAAACUAAAAAUAAAAGAAAGAAGUGCAGUUGGCACAAUCAUCAAAAUACAUCUUUUAAAUAGACCAAUGCGUAACUUUAAACCAAAAUAUAAAUCUGAAAUGAGUGAUGCAUAGUUUUGGAAAGAACAACACAAAAAUCAUGCGCGCAUGCAUGACCAUCAAUACCAAAAUGAGCAGCAGUAAGAUAUGACCAUCGGUUACAAAAUAAAAUCCAAACCUGUAAAAUUAAUAAUUUAAUUAAAACAAAAAAAGAAUUAAGCAGAAGGCACAAACUGCAGUAGGCAAUCCAUGUUAAUUUAACAGCAGAGCAAGAAUAGUUGGAAAAAGCCAAAUUUUCAAUAUCAAGAGAAGGCUAUGUAAGAAGAAUUUGAACUGAAACAGUAAACUAUAAAGCAAAUGGGUAAUAAAAGGAGAGAAAAAAUCUGAAAACUACUGUUGAAAACUGGUAGAAAGAGAAGGCUAUGUAAAAAAAUCAAGAAUAGUUGGAAAAAACCAAAUUUUUAAUAUCAAUAACACUACUAAUUAAAGAUUUUGUUAAAAUUAUUAUGCUUAUAUUAAAUUUAACAAUUCACAUUAAAGAGGCAAGUUAGAAAAUAUAUAUCAACAAAUUAUAAAUAAGUAAAUCUAAGUUGAGAGGCAAAUAUAAACCAGCAAAUUAUAAAUAAGCAAAUCUAAGUUGAGAGGUACAUUUUAGAAUGGUCAACCUUUGAGGAUUUAACAUUACACAACCUAGAAAAUUCAGCAUAACUAAAAUUUUAAAGUACUAUUGAAAAUUAUAACUCCUAUAUUAACUAUAAGUAACACAAUUCAGAUUAAAUUCAUUUUAAUUGGUAACAUUAACAUAAAGUAACACAUAUAGAACUUCAAAGAAGCAUGUACAUACAUACAUACAUCUACAUAUGUAUAUAUGCUUUAAUGUAAGGAAGAAGUGCAAAUUUAAGAACAAAUUUAAGUCCAAUUGGCCAAUAACUUUAAAAUGAAAGUAAGAAGUGCAAUAGGCACAAUCAUCAAAAUACAUCUUUAGAUAGACUAAUGCAUAGCUUUAAACCAAAAUACAAAUCUUAAAUAAGCGGCACAUAGUUCUGGAAAGGACAACACAAAAUUCAUGCGCGCAUGCAUCACUUGCAAAAUGAGAAGUAGCAAGACAUGACACUUUCUAUUGAACCUUCGACAACUAACCCAAGGGGGCAGAUGUACCAUCCGAUGGAUCAGUUUCUAUAUUAGAUGGAAUAGGAAUCGGACGAUUGAUCACAGCAUGGCACUUUUCAGUGGCACGACGUAUCUGGACCCGCUCGAUCAUGAACUCAUUUAUCUGUGCAAGAGUAGCGACGUAACAAUCCUUCACAAAGUUAUACUCACGAACCAAGUUGUUGUACUGCGCAAACUAUACAGCAUACUCUGUGGAUAGAUGAUUGUAUAGAUUUUUAUAGAAGAUACUAUUAUCAAAAUUUAUAUCUUUAAUUUGCAAAUCUAAUUCUUCCACCAUCCUCUUAAUAGCAACGCGAGCAGCAUCAUGCUCAACUGCUACAGAUGUGGAGGAUUGCAACCCCCAGCAGCGUGCAAUUUCAACUAUAGAUUCACUUCAUGAAAUUGGAAGAUCUAUAUAUACGAGGUAAGCCCCCUCUGCAGCGGGAGCGACAACACACUCUGGUGUUUCCAUAUGCAGCUUCUCAGAAAAUCUCACGAAAUAAUCGAAGGUAAGAAAGCUGAACCGUCGACAUAGUAGAAGCUGCAAGAAAAGAAGCCCGAGAAAAAUGAGGGCAAAGAGGAGGUAAAUGAGAAGUUAGUUGUAAAAAAAAUAGUUUUUAAAAAUAUUUUGUACAAUCAGUCAAUAUUAUAAGAUAAAAAAUAGGGUAAGGCAGGUUUAAAAAUUAUAAAUCAACAGCAUUUGGGAGAGUUAACAGUGAAGAAAAGGGUCCAGCUUAGAAUAGCUGGAAAAAAGCCAAAUUUUCAAUAUCAAUAAUAGAAAGCGUAAAUAGUAAUGAAGCAAAAAAGAAGAAGAAGAAGGAUUCAGCUUAGUAAGAAGAAUUUGAACUGAAACAGUACACUGUAAAGCAAAUGUGUAAAGAAAAAUCAGGAAAAACUACUGUUGAAAACUGGUAGAAAGAGAAGGCUAUGUAAAAAAAUCAAGAAAAUACAGCAGCAUAUUGCUUAAAGCAACGUCACCAAGAAAUAAUCUGCUAGGCUCAGGUAAUACAGGCAAGCAAUUUAUGCAAUGAAAGAAGACAUGCAGCAGGAUUGGUCCAUUAGUGAAAGAAGCAUCCCCAGAGCCAACUGAUCUAAAAGUAAUAAGCGGUUGCCUAUGAUAAGGUUAUCCAAACUUCUAUUAAAUUUUUUGAAUAAUCUAUUUCAUCCUACCUGCAUAUCAUGUGUUGUGUAGAAGAGGGGCAAGAGAUGCAAAAUAGUAAGUAGUUGCCUAUAAUUAGGCUGUCCAAACUUUUAUUAAAUAUUUUGCAUUUUUUAUGCCUGCCUAUUAUCCUUGCCUAGCAGAAGGGCAAGAAAUAAAACGGCAAUUGAAAGAAAGGGGAGCCUUAAAUCAUUGGUGAAGUAAACAACAACAGCAAGUCAAUAGAGCUUAACAAAAACCAAACACUAAAAACCAAUAAAAGUCAGCAAAGAUUGCCAAUAAAGUAAAGUAAAGGGGAGUAGAAGUAAUCAAAGAAGAUCAACCUUUGUGCUGUUAGUAGGAUGAGGAGAUAGUAACUGCUGCUGCAAAAGGUGUACAACUCAAAAAUAUACCUUUUUUUGUUCUGAGGAGAAUACUGUAGCAUGCAGCAAGUAAUAAAAAGGGCUAUUUAUAAUACUUCUGACCGAAGAUUUGCACUCUCACAGAAGUGAAGAGUGAAGGUAACAGUGGAAAGAGUAGGGUAAUUGGUAGUGUUGUUGCAAUAAUUCAGAAGAUCCCUCAAGAAUCCCAAAUCCAAGAGUAAGACAGCAAAAAAUCCAAGAGAAUUUCAGCUUAAUCUGUUAAGACCAAGUCGAAGAGAAAUAAGUGGAAAUCUUUUGAAACUUUAAGGAAAUCUUUACAGAGUAAGACAGACAUAAAAAUCUAAGAGAAUUUCAGUUUAAUCUGAAAAGCAAAAUAGAAGGAAAAUGAGUGAAAAUAUUUUGAAAUAAGUGCGAAUAUGUUAAAACCAAGUCGGAGAAAAUUAAGUGGUAAUCUUUUGAAACUCUAAGAGCUUGGAAAUCUUUUGGAACUCUAACUGAAUAUCUUUUGAAAAACUGAAAAACCUAGAAAGGCAUCAGAGUAGUUGUUCAUCGCGAUGGCCACCAUUCAAUAGGCGGGCUCAUCCCAUCCGCGGUCCAAUCGAGCAACGGAGACAUCCACAGAGGCACGAUGAAUAUGAUGGCCACAGAUCAAACUUUGAUGGCCACCGCCCCAUAGGCGGGCUCACACCAUCUAUGGUUGAAUCGCCGGGUGGAGCGAUCUAGAGAGAUCUCGGAGAGCUUACCUCCAUAAGUACGGGGAUAGGGCACUCAUCAUGAAGAGAGACGUGGAGAAGGGUGGAGAAGCUUACCUUGAUAGGCCUCGGAGAGCUUACCUUGAUAAGUAGGGGGAUAGGGCACUCAUGAGCGAGAGAGAGGUAGAGAAAGGCAUAGCAGCGGGCAAGAGGGGAGAGAGAGAGGGCAUGGAGAGACGCCUCGAAAGAGGCUUACAUGGUGGGCAAAAGAAGAUAAGGAGGGCGUAGAGAGACGCCUCGAAAGAGGCGUACAAGGCGAGCAAGAGGAGAGAGGGAGGGCGUGGAGAAAGGCCUCGGAAGAGGCGUAUAGGGAUGAUAGGGAGAAAGUAAGGCAGCAUAGGGAGGAAAGAGAGAUAAGGAGAGAGAGAAGAAGGAGAUAGAGAGAAGAGACAAAAAAUAUGUUAUGAAAAGAGAGAGAUAGAGAGAACGGGAAGAAACAGAUAGGAAGAAGAGUCAAAGAUGGUUAUAAACGUGGAGCUAUAAAAAUCUGCCACGUGUACCGUCACAACCAUCAAAUUAUGUAUUUGUAUGGAUAAUAGUAAGAAAAGAAUAGAUGUAGUCCUAGACAGAGUGGUAGUCUUUAAGAGACAUUUUGAUUUCUUAAAAAAAUGUGAAGAUUUUUUUAAGAAAAAUUUUCUAUGAAUAUGUAUUUUUUUUUUGUCUGUUCGGUUCUAAGAAAAAUUAGUAUUUUUUAAAAGUUAUUUUAUAAAUAUUAUAAAAACUAAUAUUUUUGUUUUCUGAAUUUCUUUUAAGAAACGAAAGCAUCAAAUUUUUUUAAAAUUUAAAAAUAAUUUUUUGAAAAUACUAAUUUUUUGGAACAAAACAAAAAGGUAAAAAUACAGAAAAAAAAUUUAUUCUUCUUUUCCAAAUAAGUAAGCAAUUAGCCCAUAAACCUUUUACCAAAAUUCUAAUUAAGUUACCGGUCGUUCCUAGUAUGAGUGGCAAAAGGGUUAUGGUUGAUAUCAAAAUUUUCAAAUUCGAAUCUAGUUGAUUUAUUUUCUCUAUCUAAAUUUAUUUUGUUUAAAAAAAAAUAAAAGGGAUAACAUCUACUACCUUUUUUUCUCUGAUAAAAAAAAAAAAAAAUCCAACCAAGUUCCUAACCUUAGACCCCCAAAACUAGUGGACUUACUAAACCCUAGUGUCACGGUGCGAGAAGGCGGGAAGGAGCCGGUCCACGACGAGGGGCUCGUCGACCUCGUGCGCGCGCGCUCUCUCUCUCUCUCUUCCCCCCUCUCUAGGGUUUCAAAAUUUGACCUGCAAAGAAGUAAGUAAUCUUUUCCUUCUCCGUGCUGCUCGAUGGACGCCGGCGGCUUCUCGGGUGCGUCGGCGGAUUCCGCUGCCGUCGAGAUUAAUCGGCUGAGGGCGGAGAAGGAGGCGCUGGAAGGCCGAAUCCGCGCGCUCGAGGCGCAGCUCGAGAACGCGCCGCCGGCCGGGGAGGAGACUCCCGCGAACGGGGUUUCCGGCUGCCGGCUGAGCCCCGAGAUGAUUUUCAGAUACAGCCGCCAUCUCCUGCUUCCGGAUUUCGGCGUCGGAGGUUCGCUCGUUGCCGAUUUCUUCUUCUUCUUCUUCUUCUUCUUCUUCGUUCGCAUGUCGUUGUUUGUGCCUAGACCCCGUUUGGGAUUGCGGGGAGAUUGCUUUAUGUGUGCGGUGAAAACUAUGACGAGAUGACGGUACGGAUAUUGGAGUGAGCCGGUUAAAAUAUAUUUUACGUCUAUAUGUUCUUUUUGCCCUAGUUUGUUGUGCACAAAUAACAAAUACAGAGCCGGAUGAAACGCAAUUAUGUAGCUUUAUACACGUAAAUCUUGGACAGAAAUGGUUCUGUGUAUCAAGAACCCUAAAGCUGAAUAAUUCUUUUGGAGGUUAUCAUUGAUUUUAUGAGGCUAGCAUGAAUAUCUAAUUCGAAACCAAAAAUACACUUCUCUGUGGGUUUUAGGCCCUGUUUGGCCCCGUGAGCAGUUGGCAAAGAGAAAAAUUGGAGCUCUUGAUGCAGCGGGAAGCAGAAAUGAGAUCUUGAGCAUCAAAAGCAGAAGCUCAACAUCGAGCUUGUGAUUUUGCUGCAGAGAGAAGUUAUUAUGGCACUAGUCAGGCAGCACUAUACCUUACGGCAGGCCAAAGAAGCCCUUAAUCGAAACUUCAUAUAAUAAUUCGGUCUCGAGAUUAAAAUGCAAGAAAACAUUCUUGUCUGAUUGGCCUUCUCUCUAUCAAUUAAACUUUGAAAACUUUUUCUUUUAUUGGUGUAUGAAUCAUUUCAGUGUACCUUACUUGCUUAACUUCCUGAACUUCCGCCACGGCUGCAUCUUUCUACUUUAGUAAUUCAUUUGGCCUGAUUGUAAAUUUUAAUCCAAUUGAUCCACAAUUAUAUAUUUUUAACAUUACCGACAUUUGGAAUCCUAUCUUUUUUACGUUCUAGUAGCUGGACUAGCUUUCAAUUUGAAAUGUAGAUACAAAAUUUGAACUUGUUGAUGAACUAGUGUGAAAAACCACUAUCUGGACAUUCGCAACUCUCCAUAUGUUUUAAGGAAAGGAGAAGCUGGAAAUCUCUUGGUUGUUAGUAUAAUAACAAGUUAUUUAAUGUUGAUGGGGGCUGAUAUUCAACAUACAUGCUAUUUUGGUUUGAGAACUCUUUAGGCAGUUUCAAAGCCUGAAGAGCACAAAACCUGUUUAUAUUGGGUAUUCUUUGCCUUGCUGAUCUACGGAGAAUGUAUGUUUCUCCUCUUUGAUAUUAAUAUCGUUAUUUUCAAUGUUAGAUAAGGUUUUACUUGUUUAAUUGCUUUCUCUUUGUCACAAGAAAUUCAGUCUGCAUCUCACUGUUGCAUUUGAAUUGGUCAAAAUAAUUUCGCUACCAGUACUUUAACGUAUGAAGUUUCUUUUCUUUUUCUAGGACUUCUUUUUCUGGUUCAUUGUAUAAAAAGAGACUGGAUCAAUUUAAGAGUGAUGUAAAUUGUUACUUAACGUCAGAAAAUUUACUUUUUCUUGUUCCUACUAUCAGGGCAGCGAAUGCUCUCACAGUCUUCCAUCUUGGUGGUUGGAGCUGGAGGACUUGGGUCACCAGUAGUGUUGUAUCUUGCUGCUUGCGGUGUUGGUAUUGUUUCUCUCAUAACGAAAAACCAUCUUGUUUUGCUUAUUUGUAUGAAUUAAUUAAUUAGUUUCUCUGUGUUCCCACAAGUUCUCACUUGUAACUCAUAGUUGAAAACAACUCUAUCUUAUAGAUCGUACUUUAUUUAGCAGUAUUACUUUUUCUAUUCUAUUAAACCUGUAUUCAAUGCCUCAAUUUUAAUUUUGGGCAUCUUUGUUACAGGUUGCUUAGGCAUUGUUGAUAGUGAUGUUGUUGAGCUUAAUAAUUUACAUAGACAGGUAUUUUUACUGCCUGCAACUUUAUUUUUCCAUCUUUUCUUCUCUCUACUCUCGAAAUAAGUACCAAUCGUUAAUUUAUUGAUUAUUGGUUCGUCUAACCUCAUAUUUAUAACCUAACUUAGUAAGAUUUGAUAAUCUUCCUUAUACCAUAUAUCGUCAUUAUACCUGGAACAAGUAUGAAGGUGUUAAAAUGAGAAAAUUAUGCUAUGUUAUUUUGCCUGGAGAAAUACACAAUAUUUGCCCGUUUUAUAUUUGUGUUUAUACACUUACAUUGUUCCUAUCUAUCAUGGCUUGAUUUUGGUUCUUUAUUUCUAUUAGAUUAUAAUUGUUUUGUUAAACGGGUGAUUUGGUUAACUUGCCCAAAAAUAUUGAUAAAUAAAAGAUGAGUUACUGUGAAUAUUGAUAAAUAUAAGUUCUCUUCUAUUACAUUCAUGUGAAUUUUGAAAUGUAUUAACUCCACUAAAAGUAAAAAAAAAGUUGUGACUGUUUUGCCUCUUUACCUUCUAUUGAGAAAUGUUUCUGAAUAUGUCAGAUAAGAUGAAUGUUUCCACCAGAACUAUCAUAAGAAUAGUAAGUCUUACAUAUUGUACAAAUAUCUCUCAGACCAUACUCUUUAAUUUCUUUGAUUUUGAACUACUUCCACACUUCGCUUGCUCUUUGUUUGGAUGUCUUUUUAGAAAUUAUGUCCAAAAUAUUCUGCAGAGGUUGCAAACUCUCACAAGAAAUACUAAAAAAUAAUCAAAUAAAAAAUAUUUGAGAAAAUUGUAAAACUAAAAAUUAAUAGAUUGAAUGUUGUCUUAAGAUUGGGAUCUUAUGCAGAGAGCUAGUGGAGAGAUUUUGUAGGGGGAGUUUUUGGAAAAGUUUAAAUGAGAGAAUAAAAAUUUGAAAUUAGAGAUUUGAGAGCAGAGAGAGAAUAGUAAUUAGAGAAGAAAGAGUAUUUUUUUUUUUUUUUCUGUUUUGAUGAAAUUGGAGGUUUGUAGGAGUAUUUAUAGGUGAAAAAAAUUUUAAUUUUUUUGUAACAAUUUAUUAGAGAGGGCAUUUUGGUUCACAUGGACCAAAAGAGUCGUCUCCAACAGGUCUAUGCCUGUUGGACCCUUUCCCCAAGGGUCUGCUGUGGGCACACCCUUGGGGAAAGAUCUUUUAGGCUUGGCUCCUAAAAGAUGAGUUGGCCUAUGCCUGGGCCUAGGGACGACCCUAGGCCUGGCCUAAAAUGCAUGGCCCUUCGGGCUUGGUUCAAGAGCCAAGCCUGAAGGGCCAUGCCUAGUGCGGUUAGUGCUUGGGCCGUGCUGAGGUGACGGGCCUGAGGAAGGUGGCCCAGAAUGACCUAGAGUUUCAGGCCUAGCCUAGCCGGGGUGACACGGGUAGUGUAGUAUUCAUGCUAUGCCUGGGUACCGCCCAAUGUCAUGUUGAGCCGCGUAGCUUGUGGGCAGCCUAGCCUGUUUUACAUUCCUAAAAACAACAUAUGCCAACCUUGCUAUGAAAUGGUAGUAUUUCAACAUUUAUCUAAAAAUUGCCAAGUAUUUCUAGAACUUUCAAGCUCUCUGUUCGAGUAAAAAAAAAGAUAUCUAUAUAAGAGUAAAAGAGAAGAAUAAUUAGAAUAGGAAUCAUAGCUUAUUUGGAUUCUUCAAAAAAAGAGAAGGAAAAGAAUUAAAAAAAAUUUCUAUUGUUUCCAAAAAAAAAAGAAAAGAAGAAAAAAAAAAGAGAAAGGAAAGAAUAAAAAAGGAGAGAAGGGUGGACUCACCCCUUUGGUCCGUACCGAGGAGGUGAGCCCACAUCCUCUUUCCAAAAAAAGAAGAAAGAAAAGAAUAAAAAAAAGAGAGAAAAGGAAAGGAAACAAAAAAAAGGUAAGAAAAGAAAACAAAUCUCUUUUUUUAUUUCAAAAAAAAAAAGAAGAGAAGAUAUACAAAUAGUAUUAAAUGUUUAAGUUCCUUAUAAGAUGUAAGGGAUAAAAAAUUUCUUUUUGAGGGAUUUAUUUUGAAUUUUUUCUAAAGAUAAUAAAUGAUUCUUGGAUCCCUAUAAAUUGGAUCCAAGGUGUAAGUAACAAUUUUUUUUUUUUGGUUUUGGCUAGAAAAAAAAAGGGCUUGAGAGAAACAAUGAAGAGAGAGAAGAAGGACAAAAAAAGAGGUAAAGAAAUUUUUUUUUUUUUUAUUUUCUCCCUACGUGUAAAGGGGGUCUUUAUCCCUGCCCCUCUCAUUCCACGUGCUGGCAGCAACAAAGGGAGGGGGGGUGUGCUCAGCACACCCCUCCCCCAAUCCGUACCCAAAAAAAAAGAAAAAGAGAGAGGCUUUGACUCUAAUGACGGCGCGACAACGACGACUUAGACAACGGCGCGACAAUGACGACUUCGACGACGCGCGAAGAGGCCAUAUGGCCUCUUUUCUUUUUUUUUAUUUUAUUUUCUACGAUGGUGAUGGGUUAGUGUAUACGUGCAAAAGGUGUAAUCGCGAUUUUUAUGUUGGUUUGAUCAACACGACCGUCUUCGUGAUAGGUUGAUCCGAUCAAAUUCGGCAUUGAAUCGUUAUUACAUUAUGCGUGCAUAUUUAUCAAGCCCGUCUCCCUCAACAUCGCCUCUGCUAUAAUGACGUCAAAAGAACAAUAUGUGUGCACAAGCGAUGGUGGCGAUCCUUGUGUCGGAUUGAUCGAGCGGCCGUCUUCGUGAUAGGCUCGACACUUUCAAUCUCGACAUUGGAUCGUUACCCUCAUUGGACCUAUAUUGAGCGGCCGUCUUCGCGAUAGGCUCGAUACGGUUGAACUCCGAUUCAAACUACAAUGAUGAUAAUAAUACUAAAAUAAUAAUAACACAAUAAAAUUUUCCUCGGGUCGCCGUCUUCGUGAUAGGUUUGACCCGAGUUCGGUUUAUUUAAACCGGGUCGCCGUCUUCGUGAUAGGCUUGACCCGAGUUCGGUUCAAUUAAACCGGGUUGCCGUCUUCGUGAUAGGCUUGACCCGAGCUCGACUAAUUAAAUCGGGUUGCCGUCUUUGUGAUAGGCUUGACCCGAGUUCGACUAAUUAAACCGGAUCGCAGUCUUCGUGAUAGCUUGAUCCGAGUUCGGUUCAUUUAAACCGGGUCGCCAUCUUCAUGAUAGGCUUGACCCGAGUUCGGUUCAUUUAAAUCGGGUCGCCGCCUUCGUGAUAGGCUUGACCUGAGUUCGGUUCAUUUAAACCGGGUCGCCGUCUUCGUGAUAGGCUUGACCCGAGUUCGACUAAUUAAAUCGGAUCGCUGUCUUCGUGAUAGGCUUGACCCGAGUUCGACUAAUUAAAUAGGGUCGCCGUCUUCGUGAUAGGCUUGACUCGAGCGAGCCAAACCAUAAUGAUAAAUCAAACCGGACGAUAAGCCGAUCCAGUCUAAUCAAAGGGUUUAAUUUAAAUCGAAUCUCAGACCGAUCAAUCUAAAUUGAACCAUUAAAGAUAUUAACCGAACCAAACCGAACUACAAGCUGGUUUGACUUGAACCGAAUCAUGAAGGAUUCGAACUAAAGUGGAUCCGAUUCGAACUGAACCGAAUCACGAAGGAUUCGAUUUGAAUUGAAGUGGAUCCGAUCCGAACUGAACCGAAUCGGAUCCCGUCUGAACCAAAUCACGAACGAUUCGAACCGAAAUGGAUCCGAUCCGAACCGAACUGAACCGAACCGGAUCCCGUCCGAACUGAACUAUAAAGGGUUCGACUUGAACCGAAGUGGAUCCGAUCCAAAACAAACCAAAGUGGGUCCGAUCCGAUCUGAACCAUAAAGGACUCGAUUUGAACCAAAAUGAAUCCGAUCUGAAUCGAACUGAACCAUAAAGGAUUCAAUUUGAACCAAAGUGGAUCCAAUCUAAACCAAACCACACAGGAUUUGAUUUGAACCAAAGUGGAUCCGAUCUGACCUGAACUACAUGAAGAUUGAGCUAAACCAAACCAAACCAUAAGUCGGCUCGACUUAAAUCAAAAUAUAAAGUAUUCAAGCUGAAUUACAAACUGGUUCAACUCAAACCCAAACCCAAAGACUGCGUUUGGUUCGGGUAUAAGUAAGAACUGCUUGUUCUAGGGAUAGGUACAAGUUCAAAUAUAAGCAGGAACUAGACCAAUUUUGCGUUUGGAUGAAAAUUGGGUUGUUCUUAGGAAUAAGAUAAAUAGUGUUUGGAUGGUUAGAAUGGAACAAGAGCAAUAAGAGUUAUAAUUUGAAAUUAAAAUUAUAUUUUGUAAUUAAUUAACAUCAAAAUAUUACUUAAAAAUAAAUAAUAAAUUAAUUAUUAAUAAUUAAUUAUAAAAUAAUAAUUAUUAAUAAUAAUUAAUUAUAAAAAAUAAAUUAAUAAUAUCGAUUAUCUAAUUAAUAAUAAUAAUAAUAAUUAAUAAUAAUUAAUAAAUAAUAAUAAUUAAUAAUUAUUAUUUAUUAAUUAUAAAUAAUAAAUUAAUAAUAAUAUCGAUUAUAUAAUUAUUAAUAAUAAUUAUUAUUAAUAUUUAUUAAUAAAUAAUAAUAAUUAUUAUUAAUAAAUUAUAAAUAAUAAAUUAAUAAUAAUAUCGAUUAUCUAAUUAUUAAGAAUAAUAAUAAUUAUUAAUUAAUUAUAAAUAAUAAAUAAAUAAAUUAUUAAUUAUUAAAGCAAUAAAUAAUGAUUUAAAUAUAUUAAUUAGAUUAAUUAAUAAUUCACUGCCAUUAAAAUUAAAUUUGGAUUUUAAUUAACCUUUUUCUUAUCAAGAAACAAGCUUAUUCCAGGAAAAGGGUGGAACAGCAGUUCCAGCCUUAUACCAGCUUGUUCUAGAAACUCGGGAAUUACUGUUCUCGGGUACCAAACAUACCGUUUGGGAAUAAAAGGGGGAACAAGGGCUUAUUCCCCUUGUUGUUCCCGAACCAAACGCUACCAAAAGGUUUUAAGUUGAGUCGGAAUGUAAGAGCUCAAUUUAAAUCAAACUCAAACAGAUCUUGAACCAAACCAUAUGGGUUCGAUCCAAACCGCAUUGAAUUAUAAGAAGGUCAAAGUUGAGCCAAGAUAUAAGGGCUCAACCCAACCCAAAAUUAAAGGGGGCUUGAACCAAGUCACAGAGGUUCGACUUAAACCAAGUCUCGACGGGCUCCGAACCAAAGCAUAAUGGUUCAACCCAAACCAAAUUCAAAGUGACCAAACAAACGUAAGGUCGUCCAACUCAAAUCAAACACGAAGGUUUUAAGUCAAUUCAACUUGAACCCAAUCGUGAUGAUUCGAGUUAAGUAAACCAGCUCCAUUCCAACCGAAGCAAAUUGGCGGUUCAAACUGAGCUAAAUUCAACUCAAUUGGCUAAGUCAACUUAAUCGACUCAUAAUCCGGAAACAAAUGUCCCUCAAGUCGUUAAACUGAACAAAUGACCCUCAAGUCGUUAAACUGAACAAGCAAAUCAAACUCAAUAUGACCAUAAAGUCGUUAAACUGACCAAUUAAAUCAAACUCAAUUUGACCACCAAGGCGUUAAAUUGGGUAAUCAAAUUAAACUCGAUUUGACCGUCAAGUCAUUAAACUGAGCAAAUUAAAAUGAAAUUCAAUCUCAAACCGACCGCCAUGUCAUCGACCGCCAAGUCGCUAAACUAAGUAUUCUAAUCUUAUAAAAUUCAUGUACAGUUGGGGUAUGCCCCUGCUUAAGCCAUGUACACGGCAAAUCGUAUUAAUAAAAUUUUAUCUGCUUGUUUUAUGUCUUUUACUAUCAGUAUUUAUAUUUGGUCUCUUAAUCGAGGGUUCCGUAACACCGAAAGUGUGGGGUAACAGCAGAUUCUUGAGUAUGUUGGAAGUCAUGAACCUAUAAUCUUAAUUUUAAAAUAAAACAUAAAUAGAUUUAACCUCUACCAUGAAUGACCACUCGCCUUAGAAAUACCUACGGCGGGGCCGGUUCGUUCGCGGCAGACGCUCUCCCAGUCAAACAUAAGACAAAUCAUAUUAGUCAUAUUAGCUCAGACCUGGGUGAAUCAAUUACAUAAUGUUUUCUUGCAAUGUAGAAGCUGAGAACAUCAGCUCUUUUGAGAUUCUUUCAGAUUCAUGGACUUUUUUGUGCCUUUGAUCAAGAUUGGGGAAUUGCUUAUAGUUCAUGGAUGUGUUGUGGUGAGGUAGGAUUUGGCAAUGAGUCUGGUUGGGUUAAGUUGAGGUGGCAUAGUAGGGUACAUAGGUUUGAUCCAAACUUGACGCCAUUUCUCUAGGAGACCAGCUUAGCUAGCGCUUAUUCAGGUUAUAAGUGCUACUUUGGUGAGGAUUUGCCUUAAAAAGCAACAAAAAUUUGGAGGAUAGAGCGUGAGAGAGAGAGAGAGAGAGAGAGAGAGAGAGAGAGUAGACCCUUUUCUUCUUUCAAUGUGCAACAAAGCAAACGAGGAUUCAAGGUUUAUUACUUUCCUUUUCUCCUUUCAAUGAACAACAAAGCUGACAAGGGUUUAAUAAUUGGCACUUUCCUAUGUAUGUGGGAGGGAGGAAGGGAAUGCACAACGAAGCAAACAAGGUUUCAAAUAUUAGUACUUUCCUAUGCAUAUAGGAGGGAGGGUGCAAGUAUAACAGAGCAGACGAGGGUUCAAGGAUUAGCACUUUCCUAUGUAUAGAGGAGAGAGAAUGGGCAUCAUUUCUUUUCUUUUCUUGGCGUCAUUCCUUUUCUUUUCUUGAUACAUGGUAAACUAGGAUAAAGUGGCAGCCUUAACAAAUAAUAUAGGGGCGAGAGAGUGGGAAGGGACGGCAGCCCCUCUUUGUUUCGGAUGCAUGCCAAAGAAAUGGUCCAAAUAAUAAUCUUUCAGUUGAGAAGAAAAAUCUAUUCUUUUUAAUGUAUCGACUAUUGAAUGCCCUUCGGUUAGGGCUGGCAAAUGAGCGAGCCGGCUCGUGUUCGACUCGCGUUCGACUCGAUAUUUGGCUCGCUCGAGCUCGACUCGAAAUUAAAUGACGAGCUUGAACAAAAAAAAAAGCUCGAAAUUCAUUUCAAGCCGAGCUUGAGUAUUACUCAGCUCGUUCGAAUUAGGCUUGAAAAGCUCGAAAAGCUCGAGUAUAUAUAUAUAUAUAUAUAUAUAUAUAUAUUACUAUGCUAUCGAAAGUAUAGAGGAUCUGGCGUUUUCGAUUUUUUGAUUCUUAGAUCAACUCCUUUAAUCAUUUCUUAUUUUUGGAUUAAUACUAUUAUUACCUUGUAAAACCACUUAAUUCUAGGGGUAUUAUUUAAUCCUAGGGGGGAUCGCAAUCAUUCCAACCAUACAAUUCUUAAUCAAAGGUCAAAAAUUCGAAAAUAUCAAAUUCUUUAUAUUUUCAAUAGCAUAGUAGUUCCACAUUAUAUAUAUAUAUAUAUAUAUAUAUAUAUAUAUAAAUUUAUAAUAAUAUUUUAAUUAUAUAUAGGCUGAGUGAAUAAUCUGAGUUUAGUUAAAAUUGGGCUAAUGUUGUUGGCCCAUAAAAAUAUUCCUAAUAGAACAAUAAAAGAGCGAAAUUUCACUAAAUUUAUACAUUUUUAAUUUCUUUUCUUUCUUUUAUAGAGCUUAAAUUCUCAAUAUGUUUCUCUCUUUCUCUUUUCUGUCUCUCACCCUAAGUGGCCAAGCCUGAAGCCCUCUAAGUUACCAAGUAACAGCAUAUACCCGCCGUUGCCUACCUUGCUAUUAAUUGUAUACUUGAGAAAUAUACAGAAUAUUUUUAAAGUAAAAAAUUAUUAUUCAUAUAAAAUUUUAAUUUUAGUUAUAUAUGAUUGGAUAGUUUAAUCCAAUAUUUAUCUAUAUAAUUUAUUUAUUUUUGACUGUAUAAAUGAAAAUAAAUAAUAUGGAGAUUGAAGGCGGAAGAAAAGACAUGUGAGGCUGAAAAGAUUAGAUAUUCAACUCAUAAAUUAUUUUUUUUCAUAUUAUAAUACUAUAUUUUGUAUAAUUAUUUUGUACUUUGAACUAUUAGACAUAUUUUUGUAUCAAAUUAUAGAUAAUGUUCUAUACAAAUUAAACUAUUGAUCGUAUGAUGUUGAGAAUUUCAAGCGGCUCGUUUAGGGCUCGAGCUCGCUCGACUCGAAAUUAGGCUCGCUCAAGCUCGGCUCGAAUUAAUUUCAAUCCAAACUUGAGCUUAAAUUUAGGCUCGAAAUUAAUUUCAAGCCGAAAUUGAGCCGAGGCAAGCUCGCUCGAGCUCGGCUCGUUUCCACCCCUGCCUUCGGUUUACCUAAAUAUAUCUGUAUGAAUGUUCUGAGAAGAACUAGUUGCCAUGACCUAUCCAAAAAAUAGUCUACCUGAGUUCAACCUUACCUGCCAACCUGUUAAAUGUUCUUGGCUUGUACUCGACACCUUUAACGAACAAAAGUGUUAAAAAUACCUUCUUGGGGUGGAGAUUGGCACAUCUAUGAUAGGUGAUUAUUUUGUAAAUCUUGAAACAUUGGUUGUAAAUCUUAAAACAUUGGUUCUGAUCUCCCGAAUAUUGUAAUUUGAUUCGAUAAUAGUUUCUACUCAAAUCUUUUAGAAAUGUGCCUUCUAUGUUAGAUAACUUGCUUUAGACUCAUGUAGCUUCUCUUAGUGCCCUGUUUUUGUGCUCAUAUGAAUACUUGUAUGAAUACACUCUUUUGCAGUUUUUGAUUGUCUAAGCAUGUAAGUCACAGUUGCUGAUUGCCAGUAAUCAUGCCUAUAAAUAUAAAAGAUUGCUGUACCAUGCGAUUUCAACCUUAUAUCUACCCAUUAGCUGUGACUUUUAGCCCCUACAGCUUUAUUUGUUGGCAUUGCUGCCAGCUGGACUUUUUGCAGAAUAAAAAAAAGAUAUUAGCAGGAAAGAAUUGUCAACACCCCAUUUUGCCUAUAAAAUGUUGUCUCGCAGUUGCUGCUCCUGUCAACCAUUAUGCCUAAGGCAGCGGCUGUUAUUUGCGAACUCCAAAUUUGUACUACUUUUAUGGCAUAAAAUGUUAAUUUUUGUUAACUAGUAUAGGGCCUGCACUGUGCGGCGGUAGGUGGUAUUUUAGACAAUUAGUAUAUUCAGUUAUUAAAAUUUUAAGAUUGAAAAAAUUAUAACUAAAGAAAUACAAAAGAGGAAAAAAAAACUAAAGUAGUCUUUUGUACAUUAUAAAAAAUAACUUUUUUAUUAAUAUUUUCUUAACUUUCAGCAUUUGUAAAAUUAAAUUAUACUAAUAAUUUUAUUUAAAAUUCAAUCAAAUUUUUUACUUUUGAUAGUUAUUUUGUAAAUAAAUUUUUUAACUGAAAAGUUGAAGUUGGAGGACUUAUUUUAAGUUGAAGAAUAGGUGAGGGUAUCUUUGUGUUAAGUAUAAAAAUAUAUAAACACCGUUCUCUAACAGCCUAAGCUUUUAGAUUAGAACGGUUGUUUUACAUAGUAUCAGAGUAGGUGGUGGUGAGUUCGAGUCACGCUAGGCUCUAGCAUUAUUAAUUUCCUCCCAUCCAUUUAAUUUAAGUUCACAUCGUAGGCCUUCUCGAGCCCAGACGUGAGGGGGAAUGUUAAAUAUAAAUAUAUAAACACCGUUUUCUAACAGCUUAAGCUUUUAGAGUACAAUGGUUGUUUUCUCACUUUGCCUUGUUAAAAUUGAUUGGAGAAAGAGAAACUAUUACAUGCACCUAGUGUAUAAUAAUACUCUAUACACCGCAACUUGUAUUAGAUGAUUAAUGCUCUAAUAUUAAAAUUUAAUUAAAUAUGUAUCAUCUACAAAGUCUAAUAAUUUAAAUUAUAUUUGAUGAAUUAAUUUUAAAAUCUCUAUUAAAGAGUUUUAGGCAUGUAGUGUAUGUACAAACAUACACUUGGUGUAGAGAAUGUUUAAUAAGAUGCACUCAUAAUUCCGAGAGAUUAGAGAAAUCUUUGCUUACACCUGGUGCGUACGAAUGCUCCAUACACCACACAGAAUAUUAGAUGAUUGAUAGAAUAUUUGAUAAUUAAUAUUGUAAAAUAAAAUAUGAUAUAAUAUAUAUAAUAUAAAAUAUCUAAAUAAUUUGUUGUACUACAGAAAUUUAUCUUUGAUGCACAUUUUAGAGUCGAUUUACGGUGAAAUGGGUGCGUCCAAAAUUUUUGUUGGAUAUGUGGCAAACUCCCAUUGGUUUAUGCCUUAAUUGGCAAUGUGGCUCUCUCACAAAGCAUUUUCUUGACGUGACCGAACUGUCAAAUUAUAUAUUGUGUAGAUUCCUGCUACUAUUUACCUUAAUAAUUACUCAUUGUAGUGGAGUUAACUAAUUAGGCUAUUGUUUGCAUAAAUUAUUUGACAAGACAUGCCUUUAUUCCAUUUAUAUAUAUCUAAACCGAUCUGUUCAUGUAAUUUAUUAAUAUCUGUUAAAAAUGUCUGGUUUCAGCAAUUAAGUUUUGUAUGUCCUCGUUCUUAGCCCUAGUAAUGUGUCAUUCUUUUAUAUUUUAUCAUUCUAUUUUAGGACUCUACUUUCUCGAUAUAUUGUAUAGUGUGCACAGAGCAUUUAUGAAAAGAACCCCCUUUAUAACAUAAAAAAUGCUGGAAUGAGGUCUCAUCAAACCAUUACAGAGACCAAAAGCAUGAAAAGUUUGUUACUCAAAUUUUCAUGAUACACAGCUAAACAUGAAAAUUUCUUUGUUUGUUUUGUUAAAUCGUUUGAUAUAUCUCCUCCAAGUCCAAUUUUAUACUUUAGGUUUUCUUUAAAUGUUGAUUCAGAUCAUCCAUACAGAAGCAUAUGUUGGGCAAUCAAAAGUUAAAUCAGCUGCUGCUUCUUGUCGUGCGUAAGUAAUUGUGCGUUUUUUGCAUUAUUAUAUAACUUCCAUUAUUGUAAAAGGCUACUGUGACUUGUGUAUGUCAUAUGCUAUAAUGAUUCAAUUUUUAAUGGCCAUUUUCACAAUUUCCUUUAUUUUAUGUUACCUCAGGAUCAAUUCCUCUGUUAAGGUGGUAGAACACCAAGAAGCUUUGCAGGCAAAGAAUGCUUUGGAUAUUGUUGAAAAGUAUCCUCAAGUGAGAAACACAUUAGAAUUUAAACAAACACUUCUAUUUGAUAUGAUCAUGCUCUUUCCCAUGCAAAUACAUUUUUCUUCUUUUUCCAAGACUGAAAUGAUCAAAGAUAUGAUAUAGUGGUUGAUGCAACCGACAAUCUUCCUAGCCGAUAUAUGAUCAGCGACUGCUGUGUCUUGCUCAAUAAGGUAAAACAUAUUACCUGUUUCUUUUGUUGGUGGAUUGGUAUCAUCAGAACAUAUAUUAUGUGUUGAAGCUUCUAGUAGUUUGUUUUUGUGCUUUCAAUUUAAUUGAAGCAGUAUAUUAGUGCAUAAAAUCCACAAAUUGUUAUUUAUGUCGCAGUUUCAGUUGUAUAUUUUUAUCGUUUUUCCUGUGAAUUUUAAGUUGCAGUGAAGAGAAUUUUUUUUCGUUCUUGGCGAUUACAAACUGAUAAUCCUGACAAUACACAUAUUUUACAUUCUUGGAGGGUCUGAUUUGUCCAAUACAUAUUUUUAUGCAAUGUAUGUACUGUAUGCGUUGAAAUAUGAAAAUAAAUAUUCAAACAACUUAUUUUGCUAUGCUUAACUGUACCAAAGCGUACAAACAUGUAUGUAUACAUACAUAUAUAUUAUAUAAAGACAUACACAGUUAUACACAUUCGAAUAAUUGAUGCAUGAUGGUCAGAUAAUCCUUUAGUGUAUUGCUUACCCUCGUUGACACAAUAGUGUGCUAUCUAUAGAUGAUUUUAACAUUUUAAUUUCAUUAUCUAUAGUAUUCUUCCUAUUUUCUUGACUGAGCUGUCUUAUAGAGGGAAGCAGAUAUCAGUAAGAUAUCAGUAUGUCCUGAUCUUGCAUUUUACGUGCUUGACUUAGAUAGUCAUUAAAUUGCAGAAUCCAAUGCCAAAAAAAAAUGUUUCAUUGUUAUCAUUUGAGGAAAUUAUUUGUCCUUUGAAGCUUUAGUGUGAGAAGCAACAAAUUAUUUAUUCUGGGCGUUUUACUGCUAUCAUCUGUGCUACGUACUUUUUGGUGGCCUUUUCCAUUGUGUUAGUUCAUGCAAACCUAUGAUCGACAUCUGGAUCAGUGGUCCAAAUAAAUAAAAGCCUGGAAACAUAUCAUCUCUUUUGGAGUUUCUAGUUAGAGAUGUCGAAUAAAUAACGCACACGGUCAAGUAGUUGGAUUUCUUAUGAUUCCCGAGUUAUUCUUUUACCAAACAAAGAGUAAAGUACAGUGCAUCUGUGUUUGCUUGUGUGAAAAUUGGAAUUGCCCUUGGACUGAUACUUCUACAUGAUUUCAGUGUGGAAUAUUUAUUGCUAUAUUAAUCCUAUUGAUUUAGCUUUUAGCUACAAUAAAAAUAAUUUUAUGCUUGACUGGCAAAUUCCUUCUUUCAGCCUCUUAUAUCUGGUGCAGCGUUAGGCUUGGAAGGGCAGGUAAAGUUUUCCUUAUUUGAAAUAAAGAUCAUGGAAGACUUUAACAUCUGUUGCCUUCGGUAUGUUCUUAUGCAACUUUUCAUGCAGCUUACUGUUUAUAAUCACAAUGGAAGUCCUUGUUACCGGUGUCUUUUUCCAACUCCACCACCGACGGCAGCGUGUCAAAGAUGUUCUGACAGCGGUGUUCUUGGGGUGGGUGAGUUGCUCAUCUUUUAUCUAUUGCAUGCUAUCGAAUUAUAAUCCAACUUAGCAACUUGGACUCUGGAGUUCUAGCUUGAUCCUCUUUCUCUCUUAAUGUAUUCUUCUAAUUUUUUCGGUUCAUUCUUUCUUUGCUUUGCAUUAUCCUUUAGUCCUUUUCACAGAAAUAGAUGGUGCACUAAUUUGCUUUCUUAAUGAUCAGUUCCUGGUGUGAUUGGUUGUCUACAAGCUCUUGAGGCUAUAAAAGUUGCUGCUUCUGUUGGUGAACCCCUCUGUGGGAGGAUGCUUCUCUUUGAUGCAUUGUCUUCUCGUAUUCGGACAGUAUGUUAGUUCAUACAGUUGUUAAAUUCAUCUGAUGGUUGAAAAUUUCAGUUUAAUUACUGCUAUUAUCAAAUACUUAGCUUCUUUAAUUCAUCAUUGUUUCGAAUGCUCUAGGCAAAUUUACAUACAUAUAUUACUGACAUGGAUAAUGAGAUUGAUUUGUCCUAAAAUGAGCUAGGCUUGUUUGUCUCUUUUUUUUUUGAUUCACCUCCUUAGUACAUCAAACCAGAGAAUAUGAAGAGGGGCUUUAAAUUUGGUCUUAGUAGAUACCGUCCAACAAUGUGCGAAGGUGAGAGGUAACCUAACUACCUAUCUGUCUAAACCUGCAAGUAUACUUAAAGCACGGGAGCUGAUAUUCAAUAUUCACAAAUCUAAGUUUGAUAGGGGCAGAGCUAUUUUCCGAUUAUGCACUUCAAGUGGUAACAAAAGUGGCUGUCAUUGAUUGUUUAAGGGGCAGACCACUUGAUAUUGCAUGGAUCUGUUCUGCCUCUAUCAAAAUAGGAGCUGUGAACACCAUCUCCCUUAAAGCAUGGAUUAAAUGUGAUUUUGCAUCUUUUUGUUUGAGGAUUCUUAUGUGGUGCAGAUUAUGUGAUAUUUCCUAUGUCAAGGCAAAGAAAGCACAUUUAUUUCUUCUUCUUUCUUCUUCCCCCCGCCCCUCUUCGGAGCCAUAUGUAUUGAACCCAGAGCCUAGGACUUGAGACCCAAAUUUACUCCCAUAUGGAGGCUCGAACCUCCAGCCUCAGAAUAGGCAAGUAGGCAUCUUGCCACUAGAAAAUGAUCAUGAAUGUUUUCUACCGAACAAAGCGAGAACAGAACUGUGGUAUGUGUUCCUGUAGUGCUCUAUGCAUGAAUAUUAUGUCCAGCAGGUGGGGAACUUUUGUAAUUAUACCGUUUGAUUUAUAGGCUUCAACCUGUCCCAUACUUGUAAAAUGAAGUUUGACAACUCCUGUAUAAAGUGUAUUAAAGAUCCAUUUAAUUUAGGGAAACAAAGGAUUAGGCCAAGAAAGUUUAGCAAUUAGUUUUGCAAUUUGAAUUUGUAUUCUGCAGUCCCAAUAUGAUGAAAGGUCUUACAAAAAAAAAAUCUUUGAGCAUCAUAUGAAAAAUAUAUAAAUAUAUCCUCUAUUAUGCCAUCAUAAUUGCAGUCCCAAUGUAGUGACAGCUAAUAGCAAUGUUUUCUUCACUCUCCUAUAUUUUAGUUUUUCAUUUCAAUACAGACAAGUCGUCGUGUUCUUCUGCAUCUCUCCGUUUAUGAACAUUACUGCAUUGAAAUUUUGAAUUGAUAUAUAUUUGAAAAACAACAACAACAGCACAAUCAACCAUUUCAGUUAGUUGCAUAGAUCUUUAUUGCUCAAGGUCCAAAGAGCUAUCAUCUUUCGUCACAAACUUUUUUGUUUUUCCUCUCCCUCAUAUGACAACUGUAACUUGAGAUGCACACUCUUCCAGACUGGUGGGUACAGGGCAUCUGUCAAACAUAUUCAAACCAAGGAUUUUCUCAACAACAACAAAAAAAAAGAUUGCAUUAAAGUUGUCAUGUUUUUUUUUUUUCCUGCUAAUCUGAUGGCUAAUGUCUGUUUAGAAUUCAGCAUCAAUUUGGCAAUCAACUUGUUGAUGCAAGCUUAACAGCAUGACAUCUACAUGCCGCUUGAAAAUAUUCUUCAAGAUCUAUCUGUUUGUUUAUGAUCAUGUUUCGUUGUGUCAUUCAGAAUCUUGAAACAAAGCUAAUCUUCCUAGUAUUAUGCUGAUGUACAUGGCUUGAUAUGAUCUUUCUGGACGAAAUAUGUGACCGAAUUUUUUUAUUUUUUAUUUUUUUUGGUGACCUAUACUAGGGCAAGAAUUUACUUUCUAGUAACAUUUGUUAUCAUUGUUACACUUGACAACCUGAAGUUCUUUGGUUUGAACUCUCUUUGUUAUUCAGUACUGUCGGAUUGUUAUGCCUAAAAGGUAAUCAAAUUGGUAUUACAUAGGUUUGUGUUUUUAUUUGCACUUUGAUGAGAUCUCCACUUUGAUGCCGAUAAUUGGACUAUUGUAUCAUGCAAGAAUGAAAUUUAUAUAAUGGAAGUGCGACAUAAGAAACUAACACAGUAAUAUGCCUGAUAGUAUUCUUUCCAAUUUGAUCAUAUCAUUAUUAUUAUUUUUCUUGGUACUGCUUUUGUACAACCUAAAAUCUUUUAAGAUAUUUAGCACUUCAGGGAUUUACGUUAACAUUUGGGACAAAAUUCCCAGGUGAAAAUUCGAGGAAGAUCGCUGUAUUGCAGUAUCUGUGGAGAUAAUUCAGUUUUCACCAAAGAAGAAUUUCAAACUUUUGAUUAUGAGAGCUUCACCCAGUCUCCAAUGUCAGAUAAGGUAUUUUUUCUGCACAAUUAAUUUGAUUUUUCUUGGCUCACACUUUUAUCAUUCUACUGGAUAUUUUCCUAAAUGCUUAUUAUCUUUUACUUUUUGUUGAACGACUAGAAUUACCUAAAAAAUGCACGUAAAUGUCUUGCGAUUAGUUUUUGAUGUUGAAAAUAGUCAUGCAGAAUAUUUGUUUUUCCUGUACAUAAAUUAAACAUUCUUUCACCAUUAGCAAAUCAUAUCCCAAAAUCAGUAGGAAGUAAUUCAGCUUUGACUUGGUUAGAACUUGGGUUCUAAGAUAGCAGAGGAAAUUUAUUGAUUGCAUUUUUACUUCUUACAUAUUUAUUUGCAAGGCACUGAAACCUUAUUUAAGUAGCAUGUUGACUUUUAAAUCACACAUGGAAAAUAACAACCGCCAGGGAAAUUCGCCUAAGGCUGCGUUUGGUACCAGGAAUAUUCCGGAACAACACGGGAUAUCCCCCAAUUUGUAACCAAACGGUGAAAGAACAGAGGGAAACGGGUUGGUCUGAUCAAAGCGGAUUGUUUUGGAACAACCCAUUAAAAAUUGUUCCUAGGAGAACUGAGAACAACUUUAUUCUUCUCUUUACUUUAUUAGAUAAAUAGAUAUAGAAAUCAAUAUAUUAAUAUAAAUAUUACUUUUAUGAUAAUAUAUUUAUACUUAAAUUUUAUUAUAUAGUAUAAAGUAAUUAAAUUUGAUAUAUUAUUUAUUUUAUUAAGAUUUAUCAUUUAUAUAUUAAUAUUUAAUUAUUUUAUUUUAUAUUAAGUAUUCUAUAUAUAAAAUUAUUUUUUCAUGUAUUAUAAUUUUUUUUAAUUUGUAUUGAAAUUUAUACUAUUAUUAAUUAAAAUUAUAAGGAUAUCGUUACAUAUAUUAUGAAUAAAUUGUAUAAAAUAAUUUAUUAUUAUUUAUAGUAAAAUAAAUAUACUAUUUAAAAUUAAAUUGUUACAUAAAAUAUUAUAUUAUAAAUUACUAUAAGAAAUAACUUUAUAAAUAAUUUUAUAUAAAAUAUACUAAUAUAAAUUAAUUAUUUUAUUUUUAAAAAUAUAUUUUUAGAUACUGUUCUAGACUUUGUCCAAACGCUACUAAGGAUAUCCUCGAGAAUAUCCCCGAAUACAUCCAAACAGAAAUUUAUAAUUGUUCUAUCUUGUACCGGAAUAUUCCUUGUUCUCAGGAACAACAAAAGUUGUUCUAAAUGAAAUAAACGAAACGGGUAGCGUGCUACCUAUCUCUCUCAAAAAAAAAAAAUAGUUUUCCAACCAAAUGCAGCCUUUAAGAGACCGUUUGGUUCAAGUUUUGUAAUAUUGCGGGAAUAUUGUAUAUUUUAUACUAGGAAGGGUAAGUUUGUUGCCAACUUGUCAAGCUAUCUGGAUUAGGAGAUUGUUAAGAGUUGAUAUAUUCUUAUUAAUAGACUACAAAUGAUUCUUGUCAAGCAUGAAAACGAGAAUGUCUCCUAUCCCAUAUUAAUCUAGUAUUCUAAUUGCUUGGGAAUCUACAAUGAUUUCACUAUUCAUAAUAUCUUUUACAACUAUCUAACUUGAGUUGGAUGGCAAUGAUUGGAAUAUUUUAAUAGAAAUAUGGAAGAUUACCGGAAUAUUACAAUCUUGAACCAAACGGCCCUGAAAAGAUCGUUGGAGUUUCCCUCUCAAGUAAAGGUAAAAACAAGAGGGAUGCUUUAAACUAUAGUAUAGGCUAUUUUGGAAGAGACCACAAACUAUUUUUCUUUUGAUUGACACUCCUGACCUUUUGAUUCUUUUGAUUUAAGUUAUUUUUAUCAAUUAAAUUUGAGAUUUUAUCAGUUCAGCAGUGAUUCUGAUGAGUUUAAUUGUUCUGAGAGCUUUCUCGGCAAAUGAAACGACGGAUUCGUUAAUUGUUCACAGCUUAUAGCUAAUGAAGCAUUUUAUUUUAAUGAAUCCCCAUUUCAAGUCUGGGAAACCAACUCAAAUUUAAACAAUUAAAAGUCGAGGGGUGCCGAUCCCAAAAAAGGAAAAACUGAACGGUCUUUUUCUUGAAAAUUACCAUCAAUGCUCGUAGUUUUUGAGGGGCUUAUUUGCGAUAAAAACUGUGCAUGUUAGACACACUUGUGCCGUGAAGGACCCAACCGCAAGUGACCGUUAAAGUUGGAAGUGUGUGCAAAAUUACCAAUUCAUUAGAUGUGAAGCAAUUGAUACAGUAAAAUUAUCAUUAAAACUAAGUGAACUCUGUUGGUGUUUCAAUUUAAUGCAGUCGCGACCGAAGCUGAGCCUGCUUCCAGAUGACGCUCGGAUCACCAGCAAAGAGUACAAAGAAAUAGUCGACAAGGGCGAGUCGCAUAUGCUCUUGGACGUACGACCUGCGCACCACUUCAGAAUAACCUCGAUCCCUCAUUCGGUGAACAUCCCGCUAUCUGUAUUGGAGGGCGAGUUUUCGAAGCUCGACUCGGCUCUGACAAGUUCGGGCGAGGGCUCUGCCUUGUAUGUGGUUUGCAGAAGAGGCAACGACUCCCAGCGGGCGGUUCAGCUUCUCCGAAACAAAGGGUUUGUUUCCGCGAAGGAUAUCAUCGGGGGUUUGGAGUCUUGGGCGCAGGAUGUUGAUCCGAAUUUCCCUGCAUAUUGAUGUAAUAACUCCUCGAAUCGAGGACUAGGGCAACUAUUUAUUUUAUUUUAUUUAUUUUAUCGGGCGAGUUGCGUGAUGUACGAACAAAAAUGUAUCACCAUAAAUACUGACCAAAAGUGUAAGGGACGUAGGUAGAAUCUGAAGCUCUUCCAGUGUAUAAUGUACUCUCUAUUUGUUACCCAACAUUUGAGUUCCAGGUAGGCAUCAUCUUACUUGAGUUUCCCUUUUUUUUUUUUUUCUUUUUAAUAAAGGUGUUAUCUCUCUGAUUAAAAUGUGUGGAUCAAGGAUUUAAGUAUCCAUUGAUACGAGCAGAAUCUACUGUAAUGUGUAAUAUCGAUAUGAUACAACUCUUUUGCGGAUGAUACACUUUAAAACCCUCUUUUCUGUAAAUUAGUCAGAAAUUUUUUUUAAUGAAGUUCGAAGAUUUGAUAAAGCUGUAUAAUAAAUAAUUAGAAUAUUUUGUUGUUAAAAAAAAUAAAAAUAUUAUGUAAUUAUGUGUCGGUACACAUGUAUGUUUUGUGCCCGAUAUUUUUCGAUAUGGUCUGGUAUGUAUCGUGCUGUGCUGUUAAAUUUUCUGGCAUAAUGUUAUGCCACAGCAUUUAGAUCUCUGGUAUGGAUGAUACCUGCACAAUUUUGAUGUGACAAGUUGGUCAUUGCACUUUUUAUGUAGACAAUUAUUUUUUUGAAGAAGAACUGCCUAAUAUUGAAACAGGGUUAAGUAGGCUAUUGGUUCCCAACCUUGACCUUUAUUAUUAUUAUUAUUAUUAUUAUUAUUAUUAUUAUUAUUUCUUUUAUAAUUUGAGUCCCAAGUUUUUUAAUUUUUGUAAUUAGGUUGCCAAAUCUUUAAUAUUUACUCCAAUUAAGUCUUUUCAAUUAAAAGUGGCAUUAGAUUAGACGGGAAUGGCCACAUUACAAGGGGUGGUGCUGACUCCUCAUCAAUUUUUGACGACGGUGAUUUAAUUGAAAUAAAAAAAAAAGACAAAGAUUAGGGAACCCAUGGCAAAAAUUAAUAGGUUGAUAGAAAAAAUGUCGGUGAUUAAUUUAAUUGAAAAAGAAAACAAAGAUUAGGAACCCCAUGGCAAAAAUUAAUAGGUUGAUAAAAAAAAAAAAGUCCUUUUCUUAUGAAAUGACCAUUUAUCCUUUCUCUAAUGUGCUUAUAUAUAUUAGUUCUUUAUUUAUUCAAGCAGGAUUCGAACAGAUUAUUUCUUUUACAGCAAAAAUUAAGAAUCUUCUUAAUAUUCAGAGAAUGAAAAGUGCAUAUACGAAUGGAAAGUUAAGGGACCCAGUGGCGACGUCGCGAUAGAUCGGUGGCUAUUCAUCUAUUUUACCUUUUUUUUUUUUUUUUUUUUUUUUUUUUUUUUUCUUUUUUUGGAAAAUUCUGUUUGCAAACUAAAAGUAGGAUGCAGUUAAUCUUACAUACUAUCUGGAGUUCAUAAAAAAUUUAAAUAAAUUUUAAUAAAAAAUUUGGUGUGAUAUGUAAAAUUUUUUUUUUUUAGGAAGCGUUUGGUUGGCGGUAUUGAUUAUUUAAAUAAUUUGGUAAGUAAUUCGGUCGAAAAUAUUUUAAUUUUAAAAAAAAUAUAAUUCUCGAGAAUCUUAUUAAAGGUGGGGGAGGGAGUACCCACAACAGGUACUUGGAAAUCAUACAAUUCUCGAUAAUUUUAUUGCUGUGCAUAUAAUUUUCGUUGACUUUUCAUUAUUCAAGAAUCAUGUAUAACACAAACCAACCGUUUCAAUAAAAAAAAAAAACAACUGUCUCUAAUGCAAGUGGCAAAAGAGGGUUUGGUGGUUGGGGGUUUGGUGGUUGGUACAAGAGAUUUCAAGUUCGAAUCCUAGUUGAUUUAGCUUUUUAGCUAAGUUCAUUUUUAAAUAAAAUAAACGAAACAGAUAGUAUACUACGUACCUAUCUCUCAAAAUAAAAUAGACUCGAUAAAAAAAGAUGUAAGAUAUAAUUCUAUUUUGAGGUAUACUAAUUAUAGCAUUGCAUUUUUUUUUUUUUUCUCUUGACGUAGAGAGCAUAAAUUAACAUGGGACACGACUAUUUAAACGAGAAUACCCGCUUGCUAGCUUUGGCUUGUGCGUAUGGGGGAGGUUUCAGGUGUGCGCCUGCGUUACAUAUAAGGAGGAGAAUUAAGGGGCCUACAAACCAGGUAAAAGAAAAAAAAAGAAAAGAAAAAAGACUAAAUUAAAUGAGAAAUUGUUGUAUUAAUUUCUCUGUUUUGGGAUAAUAUUAAUAAUUGCAUGCAAUUAAGUUGCCUUCUAUUCAUUGUUAUCUCCAUUUUUUAGUGUCAUAAUUAUAUAAUAAUAAUAAGAUAACCAUGCUAACAUUUGUUGCCUCCAAAACGAGCCUGCACUUUGGAGAAAUUAGCUAUAAUUCACAAAAGAAACCUACAUAUAUGUUUUUGCUAACCAUUCUUAUAUAUGUCAACCUCUUAUCAAUCAUGGUCUACUUGUAAUAAAAUGGAAAAUUAAUUCAUGUCUACGCCAAUCCACAAAUCAUUUACCAAAAAUAUAUAACCAAGCUAACUCCAUCAUUAAUGUUUUCUACAUAUUUGAUCCUCUUAAGUAAUCAUGCAUACAUAUACAGGUAGAGAUAAAUACAAAGAGAGAGAUAAAGAGGAGGGAGAAGAGAGGAAGCAAUUAUAUGAAAUGGGAUGGUCGGAUAGAUUUGCGCGGUGCUAUCCGUUUGCCGCCUUAGUUGCAGAGGUCCUCUACAACGUAUUUCACGGAGGCAAACGACAACCUGAGUACUCUUCCUAUGGACACGGCGACCAUCCGAGGCAAAUCCAACAUGCGCCGAGCCCGAAGAGCGACAGAAGAUACUACUACAAUAGCAAAGAGAAGCGAAGGGAUCACGAGAAACGCGCGAGCCGAUGCCACGUCGACGACCCCAAGACGGUCGGUGAGGAAUAUUGGGAUAUGAAGAGCCACCGCGCGUCGCAGCGGAGAAAGACUUACGAGGAGAAAGGGGUGUUGAGGAGGAUGUACAAGGACUCGAAAGGCAAGGAUCGAGGUGGUGGAGCAGAAGCAGUAUCGUGUGAAGAAGUACGAAGAGCACCACCCGCUUAGUCCGGAGCUGACGGAGAGCAGGGGGAGAAGGAGCUGGUUUAGCUAGGUAAAAGAUCGAGUCGGCAGUCAUCUGUUCUCGUGAACGGGUGGAUUAGGUCUCCUAGAUCAGUCAGCCUAUUGUUAUUGUCAGCAUCUCUUCUCUAUCUCUCUCCAUGUCAUGUAUAUGUCCGGUUUCUUAUUAGAGUCUGUUCUGUUGUGUAUGUAUCUGCAGUCGAAACUAAGUUCCUCGUAAUAUUAUGCUGGCAUGGCCUUAUUAUGUGUAAUAUAUUGAAGGACGUUAGCGUUAGUAAACACAAUUGUAAAACUUUCAUGUAAAUUGAUGUUUGGAGUAGUAACACUAGGGUGUCUAAUCUUUAUAUAUCCAAUUUACAAUCCUAUUCUCAUUCGAUUGUUACUCUAUUAAUUACCCAGUGAAUGAGAAUGCUUAAGUCCAAUUAUUUUUUAUUACGGUCCGUAGUCUCUUAUAUUCUCAAUCACAAACUGUUUUCUAUCCGAUGCGGGAAUAUUAGAGUGUUAUAAACUCCCUCCGUUUAGACCCUGACUUUUUCGUCAGGUCCAAAUUCAAUCACACAUAUAUAUAGACUAAAAUUAUUAGGUGAUGUGAGAUUUGAUAGGUGGCUGUUGCUUGUUCAAAAGAUAGCUCCCAACAAACCCAUGGUGUAGCACUUUAUCUUGCAUAAUACUUAGCUCUCACAUUUCCGGUUAGUACUCGGUUUUAAUACCAAAUGUAACGACCUGAACCACUAGCAAUACGAAAUUGUUGGACCCAAACAAUUGGUCCAAAAUGUUUAAGCCCAGUUAUUAUUACUAUGAUCUACGGUCCUUUUAUAUUUUCAAUUACAACCCUUUUACAUCUGAUAUAGGACUAUUGCGGUAUUACAGAUUUCUCUCAUUCAGACCUUCUAGACUUAACAACCUUAGCAAAGCUGAUGGUACUUUACUCUUAUAUGCUCCUCAAGCUCCCACG